CGUUGUAGUAGACAUUGAUACGCUCGAGUUGCAGAUCUGAGUCUCCGGUGUACCUACCGGUUGGAUCUAUGCCGUGUUCGGCGCAAACCACUUCCCAGAACUUGGCACCGAUCUGGUUACCACAUUGACCACCUUGGAUGUGAAGGAUCUCACGCAUUUUCGCAAGACAGAGAAGGAAAUCUCGAAGAGGAAGGAGCGGGAUUUAGGGUUUUUUCGGAAAAUGUGAAGAAGAGUGAGUGACUAACAAAGAAAAGGAGUGUUUUUAUAUAGAAAGGACUUAACUGAUUUAUUUGUUUUAUUUUUUAUCUCUUUCUUUUUCUUUGAUAAUUCUUUUUCUGUGAUUUUUGUUUUUAUCUUCUUUUCGAAAUUUUCAAAAUGGAACGUUACAACUUACAAAUUAUGGAAUAGAAUAGUAAAUAAUUAAAGAUAAUUUUGGCAGUUUGUGUUAUUAUUUAUUGAUUGUUUGCUAACAAAUAUGGGUUGGGAACAAAAUAUUAUAUAUGCUUUAAUUUGGUCAUAGUAUGUUAUACUUACUGUUUUAGCUGGUACCUGGUAGUAUGACUGACACAUGCCGUCACGACUCACGUGCUUUGUAUGAUAUGCGCAUUAACCCUUAAUUAACGCUCUGUGUGGCUCAAAACAUCAUAUUGUAUUGCUGAUCUUAUUGUCUCUUUGCAUAAUUGCUUUGUUGUAUCUAAAAAAUGCCCACACCAGAGUCGCUUAAAGAAUCUUAUAUGGAUACCUUUCUUUUGUUGUUGUUGUUGUUGUGUGUGCAACACUUUGCUUUUUCAUUCAUUCUAACCAGAAUAUGAGAGCUUAGUAGUUUAGCCACAUCAAGGCGUAACACAACGACCAUAGAGCUAUAUUAUGUAGCGACUUCUAUUCCUUGGUAUGAUAUGAUGCUUCAUAACAUUAGGCAAAGACCGAACUUUUGUGAAUCCAUCAUCUUUAUGUAGUGACUCCUAUUCCUUGUUCUGAUGCUUCUCAUAAGAUUAGUCAAAGACCCGAGAACUUUGUGGAUUCCAUCAUCUUUUAUAGCAAAGAUUCUAAGUUGACAAACUUUUUUUCCACAUGUACCUAUGGCCUCUCAUGUUGUUGAAGGGUUCCUCUUAUCAUUCAUACUUCAUGAUGAACAACUUAUAUACAAAUUUAUUAUUGUUGACUUGUUAGAAUGAUUCUUGUCCUUGUGGGCGUGCCGGAGUGGUUAUCGGGCAUGACUAGAAAUCAUGUGGGCUUUGCCCGCGCAGGUUCGAAUCCUGCCGCUCACGUUUUUGGUUCUCAAUAUGAUCCAUAUUAUUGAUCCCCAAAAGGUAAAGACAUCCCCAUUUGAGUACCUUAAUUUUUUUUUAUCAUACAUAACCAAAUCCUCACCUUGUUGAAAAAGCAAGAAAAUACAUUAUGGCAUCAUCCACUUGACGGGACAAGAAGAACAAGUUUAGUUUGGGAUCAAAGACAUUUGACCAUUCUUUAUUAAUGUGACAUUACUGGCGAAAUCUAUCUAUGAAAAUGAUGUUAAGAUCUUCGGCCAAAAUCUUCUUUUUUGAAAAUACUGUUAAGUCACAAGUAGAUUAAAGAAGCUCAAUUAUAGUUGUGCUUGGCUCUUUGUGAUCAAGAAAGGUUGAAACUUAUAGAAGAUGUAAAUCUUUUCUCUAUGAAUACAUAUCUUUUCGUAUAUAAAAAUAUAAACUUUGGUAAAAUAUAUCAAAGAAUCAUUUGACGAGGAAAAAUAUUGAAUUGCAUAAAAAUUGGUAAAUCCACAAUAGCAAACCAAAUUGACUAAAUAGUAGUGGUGGGGACUAAAUCUAAAAGCGGUAAAAGGUUGAGAUUUUUGUAUUUUCUUCUUUUCAAAUUCUCAUAUUAGCAUUUGUAGCAUUGUCUAUUUGUCUAUAUAUACACCCAUGAUCUUGUUGUGGCAACACACCUUAACAUACUAUCUUCUUCUACAUUCUUAAUCAUCUUAUCUUUUCGUUUCUUCUAAGUGAUUAGUCAGUAACAUAAUUCUCUUAGUAAUGGAGGGUAAAGGACGAGUUGGAUCAUCACCGUCUUCUUCUUCCUUCACGGCUCAACUCUUUGGCCCCAAGGAAUCUACUUCCUCUGCCAACUUCAACUCCAUUUUCCCUCCUCCCUCCAAGGUUCUAUUACCAUACCCUCUUCUUAUAGCUAGUUCCUUUUGUUACUUUUUUCUGAUUGGUUAUUGAAAUUCAUUCAUCCUUUUCCAUUUUUGUUUUUGUGUGUUUAAAGGGAACAUCAAGAAACAUCCUAAGCUCCAAACAUGGGUCCUUAGGUCAGUGGAUAAGCCUUUCUCCAACUGUAUUUUGUCUUCGGAUUUGUUUCAUCAGGCCUUAAAAAAACUUGUUUCCCUUCUUGAAUCAAUAUGGUUACUUUUGCUUUAUACUAAGCCAAGUUUUGUUAGAAAACGUUCUGAUUCAUCUCCAAAAUUACUCAUUCUUUAUUUCAAAAAAUGGCUCAAGUUGCUUCAUUUGGUUUGGUACUAAGUAAGUCAAGAACAUGAAGAACUCAAUCAAGAUUGGUCUAAAGUGAUUCUCAAUUCAUGAAACUAAUCAAAAAUUCAGAAGAAUUUCCAAAUUACUCUGUUUUCUUCAUCCAUCAUAAACAAUCUUGAAAACUUAGCUACCUCAUGCCAAGAGUGGCUUUUCAUUUUUGAUUUGAGAUUCACCGUUGUCUAGUCAAGACAACAAUCCCAAUCCGAGUUGUCUAAUGAAUAUACUCUCUCGUUGGUUUUGUUGGUUUCUUCACAGAAAAAAGUAAAAACACUUCAACCUGCAAUCUGAGUUCUUCUCUUUACUACGGUGGUCAAGAUGUUUACUCUCAAUCCACACAGAACCAUACUUAUCCUACAGUGAGUCAUCAUCCAUGAUCCAUCCGUUCCUACAUGAUUCAUGUCACUUUGAUGUUUGACUAUUUCAAAGAAAAUAGACAAAACCUUUUGACUUUACAAAAUGUUUGAAUCAUUCAGAUUAACAAGGAUCAGGACAGAGACAACACUGAUACCAACUCCUCGGACGCCUCAAGAGGAAACUGGUGGCAAGGUAUAUUCCUCAACCAAAUGAUUUAGUUACAACUUCUAUGUCUUUGUUUGUUUCCCUUCUAACAGUUCCCCCAUCUCGCCAUUUUCUUAGGUUCACUAUAUUAUUAGAGUGUUCCCAACUGAGGCGUCUCUCUAGAAGAAGAGCAUCAAGUUGAUAAGGAACAAUACUAAUGAUGUCAUGCUUGUCUCUCUCACUAAUGUUAAACAAAAGAUUAGAACUUUGUACUUCAUAAAAACAUUUAGAAUCCUGAAACUCGAGUAUAAAUAACAGAGGAUUCUCUCUGACUACAGAACUGAUCGAAUCUGAAACUCAAACCUAACAAACACGAAACUGUACAAACCCAAAAGAGAGUUAAAAAAUAAACACGUAAAGCACAAGAAACACAUAGAUAACAAGUGCAGAAGGAACAAGUACAACAAGAGGAACAAUAGCAGCAAGAGCAUGAAAGCUUCUCUUACAUUCCAAAGGUCCAAGUUUGAGCUGAACAAGAUCCACUAACGCCAUUGUCAAGAACCCACAUCCCAAAACCGACGCAACACACGAAGCAACGAUCCCAACCCUCAAGGCUGCCAAGUUAACGCGUCCGACUCCUGCGUUCAACACACGCGGCUCCUCCUCCACCACAACGUUCUCACUCGUUGUUGUUGUUGUUGUUGUUCUGAUUGCUUGCUUGAGAGACAUAGCGAUGAGGCUGGAGAAGAGGAAGAAGCUGAAGGAGUAAACAUGGCUUGAGACUAACCUCUCCGCUAAUGCGUUGCCUUUUGCGGCGAUACAUCGACGGAGAUGUUGGUUCUUGGCUUCAGAGGAUGAAACAGGGAAAGUGAUGUUUCCGCUUGUGGUGAGGCCGAGAAAAAGAGCAAGUGAGAAGAGGGAAUUAACGUUAACGAUGCCGUCCAGAGCCGUGACGUGGAUAAGUGUCGUUGGGAGGAGCCGUCGCCGGAGAAACUCCACGGCGCCGUUGGAAAUUGCCAUCAACUUUAAAGCUAGAGAAUUUUGAGAGAAAUUAAAAUUUAUUAAUAACUAAAGAAAGGUUAUAAGCUUAAUAUUUGUGUUACUUUGAGAGAGACUGUGUGGGAAAUGUGUGUAGCGUCGAAGCUAAGUAUGUCGUGUCGUAUCCGGUGAGGAAAACGACGGGCAGGUAAUGAUGAGAAACGUGAACCACAAGGUACCAAACCUUUUUAGUACUUUUUAGGCUUUGUAUCGAUACGUCGUCGUAUGAGUCAAAUGGCUUCUUCUUCCGUUUCUUCGGCUACUUCGUUGUGGUUUUUAUUCCCUUGUGGUUUAGUCUUUAGCCCAAAGAUUUAAGAAAUAUAUAUUGGGCCAUUGACUAGGCCUGCGAGUUCUUGUAACCGAAUCAAAUUCGGUUUUCUGCUGGUUUGAUUCGGUUACUAACACUUGGUCUGAAAUUAACUAAGCAAAAAAAAUCAAAUCGGUUUGGUUCGAGUUUAGGUAAAUUUCGGUAAUGAAAUUCUACCGAAUUGAAUCGAUUUUUUGGGUUUCUCUAGUUAAAUUCGGUUUAUGUAAUAUAUAUAAUUUGGUUUAGUUCGGUAUAUUUAGUUUAGUUUUGGAAUAGUUUUGGUUUUAAAAAAGAGGUUCUCGAUCAUUAGACGAAGAGGCAUGAAUUGCAGCUGUAUCAUGAAAAUAAGGUAAACAUAUAUUUAGGAUUUAUCAGUUUUUCUCUCUUUUGGAAAUCUAUUUAGGGGAGUAUCUAAAAUAUAACAAAUGUUUGUACUACACAAACAAAAAAAUUUAACAAGUCAAACAAUGAUGUACUUGUACUACGUACAGUACUACAACUACAACACAUAUACAUUCAAAGAAAAUUACAAUUAUAAAUACAAAACGAUUCUCUCUUAAAACUUCUGUACCUAAGAACAAAAUCUAGCUAUCAUAAACCUUUUAUACGUAUCAUGGAUCACGAUAACAUGCAUAACAUGCCACCACCAUCACCAUCAUCAUCAUCUAUGUCGAAUCAUACAAAACCACAUAUGAUGAUGAUGCACAUGACCUUCUUCUGGGGCAAGAACACGGAGGUUCUCUUCUCCGGCUGGCCCGGGACUAGCUCCAGCAUGUACGUGUUAUGUCUCGUCGUUGUCUUCUUUCUCGCCGUGAUUGUCGAGUGGCUCGCUCAUUCUCGCUUCCUCCGUGCUGAUGGCUCCACCAGCCGCGCCGCUGGGGUGGCUCAGACCGUCGUGUAUACGCUCAAGACUGGUCUCUCGUAUUUGGUAAUGCUCGCUGUUAUGUCUUUUAACGCAGGCGUUUUCAUCGCCGCUAUAGCUGGAUACGCCGUGGGUUUCUUUUUCUUCGGAAGCACUGCUUUUAAGAAGACAAGUUCCGAUGAACGGAAAACAGUCGGGCUUCUCCCGUCGUCGGGAUGCGUUUGAUGAACAAAUUUGUGUUCUUUUCUUUUCUUAUAAAGAACUUAAAAAAAAAAAAAAAAUGUUUCCUUUGUAUGUUCAUGGUUGGCUUUAAAUUGUAGUACGUAAUUCAUUUUGGUUUAAGUCGAAUUUAUGUUCUUAGGUUACAAAAAGAUUCACAAAAUUGAAUCCACAAUUUCAUGAAUGUGUUAAGUUUUUAAAAUUAUUAUGAACCACGUAAAAUUCCAAAGCCAAUUUUAAGGAAUAUACCACUUUUUUUUUUCUUGUGUUAUUGUAGUUGUUAUAGAUAACAAAUUUUGAACCACAAAUUUAUUUGAUAACAAAUUCUGUCCAUUAAAGGUGAAUUUUCAAUGAUCAUAAACAAAAUAAGUAUAACGUAUAUUAAUGUGUUAUCUUAUAAAUAUGAAUAUCUUAUAAACAGUUUUUUUUUUUGUAAAUUUGUAAUAACCAGGCAUGCAUAAUGUAUGUGUGUUUUCUCUUUUAUAGAACUGUUAUCGAAGUCGUCUCUAGACUUUAGCUAUGCCUUAUCAAAAUUAAGAAAUUGCGAAAUAUAAUUAAGAAGAUUACAAAAACUAGGCAUCUUCGUUGACAAAGCAAUUAAUAAAAUAGAUGUUGUAUAUCUUGAGCAUAGCAAUAAUUUAGUGACGGUCAAACAAUAAACAAGUAUCUAGUAGUUAUAGUACGUACCACGAGAACGGCAAGGUUCACGCCUUUUAUUCUUAGGAAAGUAAAUGAUUCGAGUGACUAUAUUGAUUUCUUUUAGAAAUCUAGAAAUGGUUUAAACAAACUUAUCAAUUCUCCAAAAUCUGCCAUAUCUCUAUUCUAAGAAACCGCAGUCAAGUCAGUUUAAUUAAACAUGUGAUCCUCAUAUUCUAACCGGAUCUAUUACCGGUAGGGUUGGUUUCCAUUUCUGUUCGGAUCAUUUAAUCCGGUUUAGCUGACCGUCAUGGAAACUAACUUGAGGGUUUCAAAGACACGAAGCUCUCGUAAUGAUCCGAAACAGUCACAUAAAUAUUACGGAGUACUGGCUUUGUCUUGAACUCGGAAAUAGGCAGUCCUUCAAUUGUGACACUUCUCAUGCUACUCGUCCUCAAAUUGUAGAAGAAAAGACGAAAAGGAUCGGACAAUUCUCAUGGAACUAGACAAAUCUCGCCAGUAUAAAAGGUAUCCAUGACGUUGAAGUCAAGACCAUCAGCAGACUGAGGCAAAUGAAAAGUGUCUAUGGACCAUUCCUCAUUCUCAGCAUCUUGCACAACCCACAUUCGAAAACUACCCUUACGAGGUCUCUGUAGUUUAUCAGAAUUUUAUCCCUGGUAGACCAACAAGUCCAAAGCUUCUCAAAAGCCUCUGGUACUUUGAUGAUGUUGAACGUUUCAAAUCUAACAUCAAAACACACAAUUAUAGAAUUAACCCUGGAAUCUAUGUCCCUCCUACAGCCCCCGUAGUAAAUGGUCCCGUUCAUAUACAUCCCCUUGAUCCGAACAAAAUGUUAAAACUGGUCUAGCAAACCUUAACUUGAACCUAACUAAAGUCGGUAAUCAUUUUUUUCAUGAUUUUCGGGUAUUUUAAUCAUAAAUCUGGAUUUCAAAUCUUCAAAAUAAGAAAGGUAAAUCAAAAAACAAUCAUGGCUAGAGGCCUAGAGCCUAGAGUCAUUAAUUGAUAGAAGAUUCAAACGAAAGUGGGAAGAAAGAAGACCGAACCAAGUUUAAGAACAAAGUACACAAACAACACACCAUAAAGUCUAAAAGGAUCAAAGAGUUGUCAACAAUACAAGCACUAAAAACCUGCAACUGGUAGUUGAGGUUUUCAUUUUCAAAAGAAAAAGAAAAUAAAAUAAAAAACAGAUGAGCAUAUGACUAAUUUGGUUUCUGGUUAAAGGGGGUACGUACAAUUAGUACUCCUCCUGUUGGUAUUCUCCUUCUUCUUCCUCAUCCUCCUCGUACUCGCCUUCUUCAUCUGCAGUUGCGUCUUGGUAUUGCUGGUACUCUGAAACAAGGUCGUUCAUGUUGCUCUCUGCUUCUGUGAACUCCAUCUCGUCCAUUCCUUCACCUGUGUACCAAUGCAAGAAAGCCUUCCUCCUGAACAUAGCUGUGAACUGCUCACUCACACGCCUAAACAUCUCUUGUAUCGAUGUUGAGUUGCCAAUGAAAGUGGAGGCCAUCUUUAGACCAGUAGGUGGGAUGUCACAGACUGUUGAUUUGACAUUGUUUGGGAUCCACUCAACAAAGUAGGAAGAGUUCUUGUUCUGCACGUUCAGCAUCUGCUCGUCAACUUCUUUUGUGCUCAUCUUGCCACGGAACAUGGCUGAGGCUGUGAGGUAGCGUCCGUGUCUUGGGUCAGCAGCGCACAUCAUGUUCUUGGAGUCCCACAUUUGCUGGGUGAGCUCAGGGACUGUGAGGGAACGGUAUUGCUGAGACCCUCUUGAGGUGAGAGGAGCAAAACCCACCAUGAAGAAGUGAAGACGAGGGAAUGGGAUAAGAUUCACAGCAAGCUUACGGAGGUCAGAGUUGAGCUGACCAGGGAAUCUAAGACAGCAUGUAACACCAGACAUUGUAGCAGAUAUCAAAUGGUUCAGGUCACCAACUGCAGACAGAGAAGGAAGACGUAAAUGACAAAGAAAGUAUAAUGCCAAGAAGAUUAGAGAAUAGCGAUAAGGAUUUGUAAGUGGUGAUGUCACAGAUGCAGAUAACCAGGGAUCAAUUAGCAGAAUCAAUAACACAAAACACAUGAGGCAUAUUACAUAGGCAAAGAACAAACCACUGAAAAGGGUAACAUAACAAUUUCUGAUGCUAAAAUCAUAUUCACCAUCUAGACAAUCCAUAUCAACCAUACAAAAGAAGGCAUCUAGCUGAAUCAACUUAACUAGAACUUAGAAGAACAGCACCAAUGCGACCAUGAAUGAUAGAAGGACUUACAGCUAGGGGUAGUGAGUUUCAGAGUCCUGAAGCAAAUGUCGUACAAGGCCUCAUUGUCAAGAACCAUGCACUCAUCAGCAUUCUCAACAAGCUGGUGAACAGACAAAGUAGCGUUGUAAGGCUCAACAACAGUGUCAGAAACCUUAGGCGAAGGGAACACGGAGAAUGUAAGCAUCAUUCGAUCUGGGUACUCUUCACGGAUCUUGGAAAUCAGAAGCGUUCCCAUACCAGAUCCAGUUCCUCCUCCUAGUGAAUGACAAACCUGAAACCCUGCAAACCCAAAAUCCAACAGUUCAAAACCACAGUAUCACCAAAAACACUUGAACGAAAGCAAAAUCAGCACCAGAUCUAGCGGAAUUAUUAGUACCUUGGAGACAAUCGCAGUUCUCAGCUUCUUUGCGAACAACAUCGAGUACGGAAUCAAUGAGCUCAGCUCCUUCGGUGUAAUGACCCUUAGCCCAGUUGUUACCAGCACCAGACUGACCGAAAACGAAGUUAUCAGGACGGAAGGUCUGACCAUAGGGACCAGAUCUGAGACUAUCCAUGGUUCCAGGCUCCAGAUCCAUAAGCACAGCACGAGGAACGAAUCGACCACAGCUAGCUUCGUUGUAGUAGACAUUGAUACGCUCGAGUUGCAGAUCUGAGUCUCCGGUGUACCUACCGGUUGGAUCUAUGCCGUGUUCGGCGCAAACCACUUCCCAGAACUUGGCACCGAUCUGGUUACCACAUUGACCACCUUGGAUGUGAAGGAUCUCACGCAUUUUCACAAGUAGGAAGCGGAGGAACAGAGAUUGAAAUCUCGAGGAAGAAGGAGCGGGAUUUAGGGUUUUUUUGGAAAAUGUGAAGAAGAGUGAGUGACUAAAGUAAGAAGAGGACUGAUUUUAUAUAGAAUGAGUUAACGGAUUUAUUCUUUUUUAUUUAUUUAUUUUUAGUUUGAUAUUGUGUUGAUUUUUUUUCAUUCGAAAUUUAAAAAAUGGGACGUUUCUUUUUUUUUUGUUCGUCAGGAGCGUUUCUUACUUAAAAAAAUGGAUUAUUAUUACCUCAAAAUUAAAAAUGUAUCAUAACAUUAAAAUAUUUUCGAUGAAAAUGCCCAUAUUUCUCUAUAUUGUAAUUUGAGGAUAUUAUUUUAUAUAGUGACUAUAGAAAUUGGAAACGACAGCGUUCAUGUGGUGUAAGAGAUAAAAUGACACCGAGUAGAGGGGGCAGGAUCACGUGACGAAUCCCAUGUAACACGAAACAUUAAUUGUUUAUGAGUAUGAUAAAAGUGUACGUUUCUACUAAUUGUGUGUGUGUUUUUUUUUUAAAAAUUAUAUAUGAAGAGAAUUGUUUUUCGAGCCAUGUUUUGUGAGAUUACACAAUCUCAGAUAAUGGGAAUUUUUUUUGGUGGCAUAAACGUCUACCAUAGCUGAUCAUGGGGAUUUUUUGAUGUGUAUAUGUUUCAUGCUUCUUCGAGGAGCCUUUUGUGGCCUGCGCUACUGAGUUUUACUCUGCUGAAGCAAUGCAACUCUAUAUGAGGACUUUCCCGAGUACUUACUUGAAGGUUGCAUCAAGAGAAGGUAUACUACAAACACCUCUACCUUUUUAGAGAGUUCAAGGAUUCGUUGAUUGAAGCUGUUGAGAAAACACUUCUGAACAACUCUACUAUGUUAUGAAAGACUUACUUAGUACAUACCCGUUAGUUGUGGACCUGAGGUUGCUGCAGAAAUAAAAUAUUAUGUUGCGUACAUUUGUAUAACCGAUGUUUCUUUUGUAAGCUAAGAUCCAUUUAACAACUAAAUCAGAGUCAACACACACGAAAUAGUGUAAUAAUAAUAGAGAAAAUGGAGAAACGAAGAAGAGCACAUCAAACUCUUACAGUUAACUUGCACUGAAAAGACAUUGACCUGUGCUAUACAUAUAUACCAAGUUUCCAUGGAUGCUUCACGCUAUUAGAUUGCAUUCUAUAGGAGUUUCCAAGGCGACAUGUUAUAGACGCAGCAAAAAAAGGUAUGCAACACGGACAUGCUUUUUCUUUGCAAAAGUAUGCAAUAUUUGGAUUUAUACAGAUGAAGCAUUAUCUAUUUGCGUGUAAAAUCUUGUGUGGUUAUCGAUUUAACAAUGGUUCUUUAAGGUUGUGGUCCUUCAGUUGAGACUUGUUCUUUGGAAGGAAGCUUUGUCGCCAUGGACCGUAGUUCGUUCGCGAUAACAGUGAAGCUUGGCCUCUCUGAUGGUUCCGCAGACCAACAUCUCUCCAUCAGCAAUUUCCAGUCCAUGUCACAGAAGUCAGGAAUUGGUGGUCUUAGCGUAUUACUAACUAUACCACCUGAUUCGAAUGUUGGAUAAGGAAAAAAGAAAUCUCAAAUUUGAAACAAAGCAAAUCUGCACACAAGACUUAUGUAGGAAAAGGUUUCACCUAUGAUUGCCCCGUAGUGCAAGUCUGCGUAAGGUUCCUCACCCGUGAAAAGUUCCCAAAGCACAAUUCCAAAUGAAAACACAUCGACCUGUAGAGUCCAGAUUAAGGCAUCCGCUAGAGAGAAACAUACAUUAUAGAGAGUAGAGACAAAUAACCAAGCUGAUAAGAGUUGAUUAGUUCACAAACCUUUUCAGAAACAAGGCUACUGAUUCCAUUUAGAAGUUCUGGUGCCAUCCAUGGGAGUGUUCCCCGGACACCACCUGAUAUUAAUGUCUGACAUUUCACUUUCGAGAGACCCAAAUCUCCAACCUGAAAUGAUCACAAAUUUCUAUCAACAACUUAAAGGGGAAGAUAGCAAGUAAAACCAAGUGGAAUAAUUUUUAUAUGUUUCUUCUCUGACACCAGAGUGUGAACUCUAUUUAGAACUAAUGCUAAACCUUAUCUAUGUCCAUAAUGCUUUACAAAAAAAUCCAGAUAUUACUUAUAAGUUAUAAUCCUAAAUACCAUUACUUGAUUCCUCACCAUUGUCCCUUCUGAUCAGUAAUCUCGUGUUAGAGUUCGAUGCAGAUAGAUAAAAUUAUUCGAAGAGACAGAAAAUAUAACUUGAGUCAAUUGACCUUGCAAAUUGGGCGAUGAGGAUCUCUGAGAUUGACGAGUAGGUUGUCACUUUUAAGAUCAAAGUGUACUAUAUUCUUUCCAUGCAAAUACUCCAUCCCAAACGCAAUGUCCAUCGCGAUCAGCAGGCGUUUGCACCUAUCAAGAUUCCUGAAAAUGAACCAUAACAAUUAAUGUCAUUCUUCUAUAAUGAAUCUAUGUGUUAACAUAGGUCUGAGGAAUGUAUACAUACGAUACCUGACAUUCUUCUGCAAUGCAUUUCGUAAAGAACCAUUAACCAUAUACUCUGUAACCGUUGCCACAGAACCUCCAGGUGAAUCCAGCACAACCCCAUAAAAAGCAACGACGUUAGGAUGAUGCAAGCCAGCUAGGUUCUGUGCCUCGUUCCAAAAGUCAUCGAUCUGAUAAUUUGUAGAUAAAAUAGACAUAAUUAUAACCUAUUCAACAUAUGUAAACAUGUGUUUUAAUGCAUCAUCAGCUGUACUGAGACAAACCAUUCGUUCUUGCUCAGAUGGUUUGCCAGCAAAACAUCGAUCAUUGAUCCGUUUGAUUGCAACAUCAGUGCCUCGCCAUUUCCCAUGAUAAACUGUCCCAAAUGUGCCAGAUCCUAGUUCUCGCAGUUCCUCAAGGUCGCUGUCCUUUAUAAUCUAUCAAAAUAUAGCAUAUGCGUGUCACAAUUCCUCAAGGUCGCUGUCCUUUUUAAUAUAAUCUAUCUAAAUAGAAUAUAUGAUUUACUCGUUUGUUAGUGAAAAUAAGUGAAUUAAGAACAAGGUGUCAAACCUGCAACUGAUCCAGAGAAUCAGAACCAGAACAUCCUAAAUUCAACCUUUCGACAAGUUGGUUCCUGAUAUCCUGAAAAAUAAUAAUAAAAAAUUCAUCAAUUCUGAAGCAAUAUGAAAUAUACGGAAAGGAAUGACCACAACAGUGAACUGCAUACAACGGACCUUGAAGUGUGUGGACUGCUGCUUCACUUCAUCAUUACGUGAAAAUUCUCCUUUAUCAGAAGCAUACUCAUCCAUGUUGAUGGGAGGUUCAUUAUAUGAAUGUGUACUUGACUGUAAAACAGCAGCAGCGACUCCUUCAGCAACAUUCUGAAGUUCUUGUUUGAUAUGCUCUUCCGCUAAGCCUUGUAGAGAGAAGCAAAGACCAAUCAACAGAUAAUCCUCAAGGAUAACUAUUUUAAAAAAGUAGAAAUGGAGUCAUGUAUAACACAAAAGACCACCUUUGGAAGAACUAAGUAGGUUAGGCUUGGUAAUGGUAUUAUUCUUUGGGUCAGUUUGCAAAUUCCAUGGGUCCUGGUUGCUAAAAAAUGACGUUGAUGAUUCUUUGUGGUCUGCACCACCAACACUAGAUGAUAAGGAUGAUGGUAAAUUGGCAGCAUCAGGAUUUGAUGAUAAUGAUGAUGGUAAAAUAGCAGCAUCAAAGGCAUGUUCAACAGUGCCAUUAGCGGGGUUGCAGGACUCUGCUUCCAAAGAAUCGAACUGCUGACCUCCAACCAAUGGCUGUACGAGCAAACCAGGAUUACGUAACAAGGGUGACUGUAUUGGCGCACAUGAUGUCUUAGGCUGAUAUUCAUGGCCUGGAAGAACAACCCUUGUUAGCGUCUCACUUGAGUCAGUGUGAUCUAUGUUUGGACUUACUGGAGAUUGACCAGAGGUGUCAUUUGAGAACAUAUUCGUCCUUGCCGUUUGUUGGAAACUGAUACCCAUAAUAUCUUCAUUUCCAAUUUGUCCAAGUGGUGAGACGAAAUUCUGACAAUUGGUAUAUGUUUCAGGAGCAUGUAUGUGAACAUUAUCCAUCAAUCCACUUAGUUGGUGUUGGCCAUAUGCUACUGAAGGUUCUACAGGAUUUUGCUGUUGUCUAGAUACUUGAACUUUUAUCGGAACAUCUCUAACAAUCUCGUUGAGUAGAGGUUCAGUUUUCUCGGCCUGACCUGUCAAAACAUUAGAAAUAUGUAGAGCAUCUCUUUCUUGACCAUUAGAAUUAUUGAGGAAACUUUGUUGACCCAUAAACUUAUCCGCCUGUUGGAUUUUGACGAUAUCAUCUGGACGAGAAGCAUGGUAAGAUGAGCUCACAUAUGGUACAAACAUUGUAGAGCCAUCAUUCCUCUCCUGUAUAAUGGGAUCAGAAUGCAUAUGAGGCAAAGAUGUCUGACACAUUUGACAGUCAUCCACCCUUCGGAAACUUUCAGGCAUAAUUACUUGUUGAUGCAAAACUCCGUCGGGAUUAGCAACAUGGUCAGAUGGUGGAACCUGAUUCCCACCAUAACCGCUAGUUGGUAUACCAUGAGCAAUCGAACCUUGAUAUGCAGAGUAUCUCGGGUCUGUAGGAAGCGGGACUAAAUUUUGAAUCCUGACAUUUCUUUCAGAAGGAAAGUUCCCCAACAGGCUUUCUUGGGGUCGCAUUGCCGGGUUGAUCAAAACUGGUGUGGCAUCAAUCUGAGCAUUCAAAGGAGCCAUUGACAUGUGAGCAGGAGGAAGGAAUUGGUGGGAUGAAGCAUUCAAAGUACUUCCUUGAAAAGGUUGUUGGGAGAACAAAGAAGUAGUACUUGGCAAAAGCUGGUUAGGUGAAUGAACAGAUUCUGGUUGUCUUAAGACUUCUAGGCGAGAUUCAACAAACGACGGUGAAUGAUGUUCACAUGGCGUAGUUAUGGGUAGCUGAUGGAUCUUACCAGCUAUUGCUUUCUCUGAAGCAGUCUCGACCUGAGAAGAAUGAAACGGAUCAGCUGGAACAGUCAUUGGUACAACAUAAGCAGACGAACGCUGAUCAAGAGGAACAAGUCUUUGCACAGUAUUCUGAUAAGUGUGAGGUGAAAAGGCACACGAGGUCUGGUUUGCAACAAAAUCACUCUGACCAAGGCCCAAGCUGUCAACAACAUCCACUCCACCAAAAUCAGAAUUCGGAUUAGAACCACCACUAGCUACACUUUCCUUACUCGCAACUCCACCAACAACAACACCAUUCACAGCCUCUACAAACCUCUGCCCAAUGUCAACUCCAUCUCCAUACUGUGCAACUCCAAAAGAAUCAUCAACCUCAGACGAAGCAGCGUCAAACAAAAACACUCUCAACUUCCCAGACCCAUCUGAAGAUCUCUCAACCAACUUUUCAAACUCUUCCAUCAUAUUAUCAAUAUCCUCACUACACGAAACAGAGACCAAAGCAUCAAGAUCCUCAUCAGGAAGCUGGUACUUGAUAACAACAGGCUGACCAUAAACCUCUAUCAUCUUUUGCUCAAACUCAUCAAAUCUCACACUUUUUUUAAUAGUAAUGAUCCUUGUCUGACCACCAACGUAUCGUAACACCCCAUCGCUUGGUCUAGGCAUUAUUUUUCCAUUGUAGCUACACAAAAACUUCAACUUUUCCCCAUCCUCUUCACUAUCCAUAUCACUACUUUUAAUUCCAAUACUUGGAUUGUUCGUAUCUAUACUCCACUGUUCACUACCGUUGUUACCUUGACUGAACCCAAACCCAGUAGUAAUUUCAUCAGAGACACGCUUAUUACCCAAAUCAAAACCAUAAUCUAACACAGAAUCAUAGAGUUUGGCCGGACUUGAGCUACUGGGUUCAUGUGCCAUUGUUUAUAAACCCGAAUUAGAAGCAGCGACACAGAUAGAGUUGAUUUCGCUCUCACCUGGUCAAUCUCCUGGUCGUCGACGCGUUCAAGUAAGAAACAAAGAAUCCUAUUCGGGAAGAGCGAGAGAGAGAAGAAGAUGAAAGAGGAGGCAAAGGAAGUCGUUGGAAUUGAUAAAACGACGACGCUUGUUCUCUGGACUCUGGAGUAUCAAACUCCAACUUGAAUAUUCUCAGUUAUGGAGUUUUUAGUUUCUCGGGAAAAAAAUUUAAAAGGGUAACACGUGAGAGAGUGAAGAGAGAUGAGAAGCGGCACGUGGUCUGGCUCUCGCCUCAUGCAAAAGCAAAAUAAAUGGGUUGCGUUUGUUUUCCAAAACUGUGUCAGAGAAAGUGUGAUGCUCCAACUCCAACACUCGAAAUGUUUUUUUAAUAUAUAUUUUUUUAAUUAUUUAUCUUUUCCAAAUUCCUAAAUCCAAACAAAAGUUUGAAAAAACUGUUUAUACACGCACUCACAAAUUCACAAUCACAAAAAAAAAAACAAAAGGAAAAAAGAAAGAUGAAAUCGUAUGAAAGAAAUUGUCAAAACUUGGAUCAUUCUCGUUGCCUUAUCCAAACAUGUAAAAAUAUACGACCCGAAUACAACUGAGUUAUUUGGGUCUUGUAUCCCAAUAUGGGCCGAAAUAACUAAAAUUCAAAUCUUUUCGGGCUUAACAAAUAAAUAAAUAAUAAAAAAUGCGUCUGCCGGGAGUCGAACCCGGGUCUAUUGCUUGGAAGGCAAUUAUCCUAACCGUUGGACUACAGACGCUUUUUGUUUACUUAUUUGACUUCCAACUAUAUAACACAAAUAAAUUAAAUACAUAACAGAAUUUAACAAAAAGCAUGUCACUGAGUCACUGACGUUGACAGAUAUCCAAUAAAACGAGACCGUUUUAUACAUCGUCCGUGUUUUCCUUCUUUGACCAAAACAAAAUUCUGAAGAAUUUGUCUUUCGGUUUUAUAAUAUUUCUGGAAACUUUUCAAUACAAAUUUCCUCUCUUUGAAGCAAAAAAAAAAAAAAAAAAGUCACAAAUUCGAAACUUCCUCGUCUUUCUUGUUAUCAUUGAAAGCUUUCGAUUUCUCCGUUGAUUUUUUCUCCUUUCACAAAAUCUAUUUAGCCGGAUUCUGAUUCCUGUUUCUCUCCGAGCUUCACGAAUCAUCGUUUUGUUUCUGUUUUUUUUUUUGAAAAAUUUCGUGUUUCAGGUACGUUCUCCAUUUUUUUUUUCAUGUUUUGUUUUAUUUUUUCUGAUUCAUCAAUCGUUUCUAAAUAUAGUUGUUGUUUCUUUGAUUCGGUUUGAUUUCUAUCAGGAAGAAGCGAUAUAGUUGUUGGUGCAAUCAAUCAAUUCCGAAUUUUGCUUCCGGCGAAUUUUUGGGGUGAUGAUGUGUUCAUCACUCUAGGAUUGGGAGAAUUAUUUUUGAUUUUAAGUUUUGAUUCCUAGGAGUUGUGGAUUUAAUGGUUGAGGAUAUAUAUGGUGUGUUUCUUCAAUGGAUGUGAAGACGAGGUUGUUUUUGCUGUUGUUGGAGAUUGCUACUCAUGCUUGAUUAGAGUUUCUUAUUUUUUACAAGUUUUAAGUGCUUUGAGAGCUUUCUUGUGAAUUUGGUUGAGGGGGCUGAUAAUUCAAACAUGGAUGGAGAGGUUACUUCUUGGAUUAGGAGAGCUAAUUUCUCUCACACUGUUUGUUAUCGUAUGGUUAUCCCAAGCUUAGAGUCAAAUCCAGAUAGGACUUCUGGAUUGAAAAGAAUGCCUCUGAGUUCACCAGCUGAUUUGAAAUCACUUGUAGGAAUUUCACAUGCCACGACAACGCAGAAGCUGAGUUCGCGUUGUAGUAGUGUUGUUGGUACUGAGAUACAGAGAAAUCCAGUCACUAAUAAGAAGAGGUCUGUUUCUCCGUCGCCUCAUAUGGCUCUUCCCGAUUCUUUUCGGGAAGCAAAGUCUGAUAUUAAGAGGUUUUCUACUCCACAUCCUAGAAGAAUAGAAUCAGAGAAGGGAAUUAAGGCCAAGUUUUCGGGCAAGGAUUCUUUUGAGAACAAAUCGUUUAAUCUGCGGCCUUUAUCACACUCUGGUCCUAUUAGGGAUCUUAGUACUCUGAAAAUUCAAGACAAGGCAAAGAGCAAGAUAGAAAAGAGGUCUUCAAAGUCUGUUGAUUAUAGAGGUUCUAAAGUAAGUUCUGCGGGAGUGCUUGAAGAAUACCUCAUUGAUGCGUCUAAGGUGUCUUACGGGGACAAGUUUACGCAUGGGGUAUAUAGCCAGCUUUACCAUGGAGAAUACGAAGGCAAAGCUGUUGCUCUGAAGAUUAUCACUGCGCCUGACAAUAGCGACGCCAGAUUCUUGGGAGCUCGCUUAGAAAAACAGUUUACCAUGGAAGCCACACUUUUAUCUCGACUAAGCCAUCCGAACAUUGUUAAGGUGAUUUAUUAUGUUAUGUUAUGUCGGUUUGGUUGUAUGAAAUAUGAGUUAUGCCUUUGGCGUGGUUAUUUUCAUUUGAAAACUGGAAGACACAUCUUCCAACUCUUUGAUAAUUAUGAGUAUGGUUUGUUUGACUUUUCUUCUGAUUGAUGAUGUCCUGAAACAGUUUGUGGGAGUCAAUACUGGAAACUGUAUCAUCACAGAGUAUGUGCCUCGAGGGUCUUUAAGAUCAUAUUUGCAUAAGCUCGAGCAAAAAUCCCUUCCUUUGCAACAGCUAAUCGAGUUUGGUCUAGAUAUUGCAAGAGGAAUGGAAUACAUUCACUCAAGAGAGAUAGUUCAUCGGGAUCUUAAACCAGAGAACGUGUUGAUCGAAAAAGACUUCCACUUGAAGAUUGCUGACUUUGGCAUAGCGUGCGAGGAAGAGUACUGUGAUGUUUUGGGCGAUAACACAGGAACUUAUAGGUGGAUGGCACCUGAAGUGAUAAGACGGAUACCACAUGGAAGGAAGUGCGAUGUUUAUAGCUUUGGACUUAUUUUAUGGGAGAUGGUAGCUGGAGCAGUUCCAUAUGAGGAGAUGACUCCUGUCCAAGCUGCUUUCGCAGUCAUGCAUAAGGUAAUUCAUUUUACAUCUCCUGCUUAUUUCGUGAUUGUGAUUGUCCAUAGAUCGAAUAGCUUCUAGUCUUUCUCUUGAUUUGAUCUGAUAUUUUUGUGUUGAUAUUGGUCAGAACGCUAGGCCAGUUAUACCUACAGAUUGUCCAGCUGCCAUGAAAGAGCUGAUCGAGCUAUGUUGGUCGUUGCAAACAGACAAGAGACCAGAAUUCUGGCAGAUUGUCAAAGUGUUGGAACAGUUUAAGAAAUCUCUGACAAGCGAAGGAAGACUCAACCUUUUGCCGAGCCAAAUCUGUCCAGAACUAAAGAAAGGUCACAAAUUCUGGAUUCACAAAUUGGGAUCUUCAAUCCACCACCACAGCGGUGGCGGCAGAAGCAGCCACACCUUAGGCUCAGCCUUGCCUAAGCCUAAAUUCGCCUGAAAGACUCUUUGUCAUCCUCAUUUUUUUUUGUCUAUAGGAAAAAAAAGAGCCAGUGGUUAUGUUUUUGUGUUUAAUCAACUGUCUCCGUUUUACUCUUGAUUGAUAGGGGUGGGCAAAAUACCCGUACCCGAAACCCGAACCCGACCCGAUGUAACCAGUUUGGGUUGGGUAUAUUUCAUACCAAAUAUCCGGUUGGAUGUUUAUAAUAAAUAAAUUGGGUACCCGAACCCGAUCGGGUAUAUCCGAACACCCAAAUAAAUACCCGAAAUCAUCCAAUGUUAUAUAAUAUAUGUUAGGAUCUUUGUAUAAUAUCGAUUCUUGCCUUUCUUCUAACCUCUAAAUCUCUUGAUUCUCUCUAUGAUGUCAUUUGAUGUUUCAGGAACUCAAGAGCUUUUCGGUUUUAUGAACUUGUUGUUUUUGUGUUUGGAAUGUUUUUUUUAUGAAUUCAAUUUAGUUUGGUAAUGUUGGCUUAUUUUAUAUUGAUGAUUACAAUCAGUUUAUUUUAGCUUGGUACUUUUGUUACAAUCAAUUUUAAUGACUUUAGAUUGAUUUCAAUUUUUUAUUGUCAGUUUGGAUUGAUUUCGCUUUUUUUAGCUUUAGUUCGGGUUUAAAAAUUACAAAUCCUAUCCUAACUCGAAAAAUAUUUCGAGGUUUUGGGUAUAACCCGAAAACACCCAAACCCGAUGGGUGUUUACCCGAACCCGACCCGAUCUUUAAAUAUACCCAAUUAGGUGUUAUUUCUCCAUACCCGAAGACCCGAAAAACCCGAAAAACCCGACCCGAACCCGAAUGGUUACCCGAACGCCCACCCCUACUUGAUUCAUUGAGCACUCCAUUAGACAGAGCUCCUUACAGAGUUGGCUUGGUUUUUGUGAAGUCAUCUCUUAUAUUUUCUUGCAGUGAGAGUUUUGUUUUGAUAAGAUAGUCUUAAAUAGAUAAACCAAAGAGAGAGAUAUUACAGCCAUGCCCACAAACUGUUCGACGAAAUAACCCUAAAUUAAAACUAAGACACAUACUUAAAACGAAGCUUCUUCAAACACCAGUAGAGCCAAAGCCACCUUCACCACGAACAGUAUCAUCCAAAUCUUCAACCUCCACAACAUCAGGAGUCACAAUCUUCUCGAUAAUCAACUGCGCGAUUCGAUCACCCAACUUCACAUCGAACUCAACAUCAGAAUGAUUAAACAAAAUCACACCAACGGGUCCUCUGUAAUCAGCAUCAAUCACACCAGCUCCAACAUCGAUCGAAUGUUUCCAAGCCAAACCAGAUCUCGGAGCUAUUCUUGCGUAUGUUCCUUCUGGUACAGCGAUGCAGAGAUCCGUCGGGAUUAGCGCUUUGCCUCUCGCCGGAACUUUAGAAUCCACCGCGCUUGAGAGAUCGUAUCCAGCGGAGAGAGAUGAGCCUCUUGUUGGUAAAACAGCUUUCUCGGAGAUUUUCUUCACUUUGAAGAAAGGUGAUGAAGAUUCGCCAUGGAUUCCGUUUCGAUCGAGCUUUUGGAGUUUUGGUGACGGUUCGGUGACGGCAUCGGAACUGUUGUUGAUCUUCGUCUCGACACAGGCCAUUGUUGAAAUUGGGAAACGAAGUGAGGUGAAUCGUUUGGUCAAGGAGUUGCAGAGAAACCCUAAUUUCAAUUGAGGUCGAGUUGUUGUUGUGGGGAUGAUGAAGAGCCGUCGUAGCUCCGCCAUAAAUGGAGUGAGUGAGUGAGAGUGGCGCCAAAUUUUCCCUCCACCCUAAGAGAACUUGUAAAUUCAAUGGGCUUUUAAGUUUUAACCAAUUUAUGUAUUUCUCGGCCCAAUAGGCUCAAUAGGCCCAAUAAUAGAGGACCGUUUCUAAAUUGUUAAUGAUUUUUUUUAAUUCUUCUUCCUCAUAAACCCUAAUAUCAUUUUUCACUAAUCGAUUCACUGGUUCUUUGAGCUUUGUUAUUGUCAUGUUUUCUCUGAUACUCCAUGGAAGAAGGUCUGUGGAAUUGCAGAAAUGGCGUAGCUUAAGAGUUACUACAGUGAGCAUUGUGCAAAAUGUAUUCGCUUUUACCAACUCGUUCUCCACUCCAAUAGCUAAGGAUGUGAGUCCUCAAGGGAGUAGUAAUUUUACUGUAUCGUAUCUGGUUGAUACAUUGGGUUUAACUACAAGACUAGCUGAAUCGAUCUCAAGGAAGGUCAGCUUUAAGGACAAGGUAAAUGCGGAUUCAGUUCUGAAGCUUCUUAGAAGUAAUGGGUUUAAAGAUUCUCAGGUCUCCAUGAUUAUUAGGACUUACCCACAAUUGCUUGUUACAGAUGCUGAGAAAUCUCUUCUUCCUAAGCUCCAGAUUCUGCAGUCUAGAGGAGCUUCAAGAUCUGAGGUAACAGAGAUUGUUUCGAUUGUUCCGGCAAUCCUGGGGAAGAAAGGGGAGAAAUCUAUUAGCUUAUACUAUGAUUUUGUCAAGGACAUUAUGCAAGAUGGUAAGAGUUCCAAGUGUGAAAAGUUGUGUCAUUCUUGGCCAGAGGGUAAGAGCAAGAACAAGAUCCGAAAUAUAUCUCUUUUAAGAGAAUUGGGAGUGCCUCACAAGUUGUUAUUUUCAUUGCUCAUCAGUAAUUCUCAACCUGUUUAUGGUAAAGAGAGAUUUGAAGAAACACUCAAGAAAGUUGUUGAUAUGGGUUUUGAUCCGGCCAAAUCAAAAUUUGUGGAAGCUUUGCGUGUCGUCUACGAAAUGAGCGAUAAAACCAUAGAAGAGAAAGUAAAUGUCUAUAAAGGGUUAGGCUUUAGUGAAGCAGAGGUAUGGGCAAUUUUCAAGAAGUGGCCUUUCUUUUUGAAAUUCUCGGAGAAGAAGAUUACUCAGAUGUUUGAAACACUUAAGAAGUGUGGUCUGUUGGAGAAAGAGGUCCUUUCGGUGUUGAAGACUCGUCCACAAUGCAUACGAGCUUCAGAGCAGAAGAUAUUGGACUCUAUUCAAACGUUUCUAGACUUGGGAUUCAGCAGAGAUGAGUUCAGGAUGAUGGUUAAGCGAUAUCCCCACUGCACUGGAUAUUCAGCAGCGCUGGUGAAGAAGAAGUUUGACUUUUUAGUGAAGAAGAUGAAUUGGCCACUAGAGGCUGUGGUUUUGAUUCCUGCGGUACUUGGAUAUAGCCUGGAGAAAAGGAUUAUGCCAAGGUGUAAUGUAAUCAAAGCUCUCAUGUCGAAAAGAUUGAUCGGAAGUGAAAACCCUCCGAUUUCAUCAGUCUUGGUAUGUACUGAUCAGGAGUUCUUGAACAGAUACGUGAUGAAGCAUAACGAGCUAGUUCCUAAGCUGAUGGCUAUCUUCACGAGAUAUCAGGUUUCAUAGUUUUGUUUUCAUGUACGAGUCUGUAUCUGAAACCCAUUUUUGUAGUCUCAAUUGGACGUGGAUCUGACUGGUUUUUAAAAUACAAUCCUAUUGGGGAAAUGAGUUUUACCAUUAUAAGAAAUUGCAAUAAUCGUAAGAAAAAACUUUGAUCCAACCACUAUAUUGGUUCGAAAAGCUGCAUUACAGAUUCUGCAGGAGUUUAAGACAUGGUCAGACAACAAAUCAACAUUGUUGAAAGUGUUAAAUGGAAUUGAAUUUCAGGUUAUGUGACAAGCAUCUCUGGUCAGUUUCCUAAUCAAAUCUUACACUCCAGUAACAUACAGACUAGCUGCAAAGACUAUGUCACGUUUUAUAGCAUUCGAAGCUAAAUCCAUUUUCUUGUGUAAUGCCGAGUUCCCCAUAAUGGCAGCAGCGUUCUUGAACUCACGGCAUGUCUCGUCCAAUCUCACAAUGGUCCGAACUAUCAGACCUUCAGGGACAUCCGUCAGUUCACAUAUCUCUGCAAAUGGAGUCCCCUGCAAAAAUCAAGCAUACAAUAUGUUUAAGAGAUGUAUGAAUCGUGCAAUGUAUAAUAAGAUACCUUGCUUUCUAGCUACAAACCUUUGCCCACUCAUAGACGACUUCAACUAGACCAAAUUUGAGAUUCUCCUGGGCAUAUUCUUCAGGGUCUAUUUGUAAGUUGUACUGAGCUUGAAGUUCACCAAGUCUGAUUGCUGUAUCAUAGAGUCUAUGCAAAAGAGGGUCAAUGAUUAUAUCAGAUCGAUCAGAUCAGAUCAAAUGCUGUUUAUAGUUAUGAGAAAGAGUGGUCGUAACAAACCUUUGUUUAGCUUUGGCUAGCUUAGGAGUAAGCAAAGGCGCUGAAGUGUUUUUCUGUUGGAAGACAAAGGCAGACAUUAUAGCCACUGCUUCUUCCGGUUCUAAUUCUUCGAACUGAUUCUCAAACAGACACACUGUGCAUAUCAGUUCUUCCCCAGAAUUCAUCUCGCAAGCGACACGGCCUUUGAUUUGGACAACGAGGUCAUCAUCUAUACACCCAAUUUCCUUCAGAACAUCGAUCUGCAAGAAGAGGUUUGAACUCUACAUGUUACUCUAAAUUAUCAUACAUAAGAGUAAACAAAGUUGCUUUUGGAAUUUCUCAUUUGAAUGUACCCGGCCCUGAAACGCAGGCAUCUGUAAUAAGGCUUCAUCGGACAUUUGAAAUUCUAGAUCUUUGAGGUCCGUCUUAUGCUUCUUAAUGUCCCUAGCUAACUUCAUGUGCUCUUCCAAUUUGACACAGCCGUGGCAUUUAUUCAUGGACAUCUUUUGCAACAGGCGGGUCCAUUUAUAGUACGUCUCCACAAGCUCGGCAUCUUUCAGCUUCAAAUCUGAAAUGGAAUCAUGAAAUGAACUUUAUAGGGGAAAUGAAUUUGCAGCCGAAAAACACGAAACAGGCCUAUAAUUUAGUUAAAAAACCUUUUAUCGGGUCUAGAGCAGGAGGAAACUUGUUUCCAUCUGCUUUCAGAUCCAAAAGCUGUUGAACUGUCUGAGAAAAAGCUGCCUUGUUCCCGUCCUCGAGUAGACGCACCGGAUCAAUCUUUAUCUUGCUAUCGCAUAUGCACAAGAAUUCUUUGUUAUCAAACCCUUUAACCUCGUAACCUACACCAGCAGCGGCUCCAUGGUACGGGAGCUCUAUCUUGACCGAAACGGGACCUUUACGAGAGCUCGGCUUCGUAUAAAAUUCUUCUUCAAAACCACGUUUUGACUUGGGCGCAAUAAAAUAACCUUGAGAGGGAUCUGAGUUUUUCUUGCCAAUGCUGACCAUAUUUUUCUCUGGUGGCGGUAUUUCAGAUUUUAUUACCAAAACAAUAUAUUGUCUAUUAGUGUUGGAAGGUCCCUUCAGAACGACUCCAAGAAAAUUGUCUAUGCCCUGUACAAUUUACACACAUGAGCAACCGAUUAAUGAACCAGAGGAAAGAGAGGUGGAGACUGAGUCUUACCGUUUCAGAUUUCAUGACCACUACUCUUCCUUGUACAAGAAAAUUCUGGGCAUAAGGAGACUGCAUAACUCCUUCUGACAUCUUACUGUUAUAUGCGUUUGCUUCCAUAUACAUGUCAUAGUAAUCUUCAAUUGCCGGUUCACCUUUAAUACAUCUGGACGAAUAAAUCAAUAGGUUAAUUUUACAUCGAAGUAGAAUGUAGAGAGUGCAAAUAGCUGUGUAAUCCCUCUGAGUAUGAAAUUCAGUAUGUUUGGCCUAACUCUAUAUUUUUGAUUGGUUGAGAACGUUUUAUCAUGAGAAGCUGCUGUUUUUCGGGCAGUUUCUUCUGGGCAUGGAAUUCAGCAAAACUUCUUUUCAGCAUGUCCUCCACCUUACAUUUGAAAAUUGGCGAGUCAGAAAAUUCCAAGAGAAAGGCUAGUUAGCAAAACACAUGGCAGAUCAAUGGUCCAGACAUUUGAGAUACCUUCAAUUCUUCAACACGUAAAAGAUGGAGGAUCAUUAUGUAGGUUAGUCGGAACUGAGAUUCUAGUCUUGUUGCGCUCCCAACAAUUAUACGCCUCAGAUCACUCUCAUCUGGAACUUCAUCGCGACACAUUACAACAACUGUGCCAGUUUUGUCAAGUCCUCUUCUGCCAGCACGCCCUGCCAUUUGAGUGUACUCUCCAGGAAGCAAUUGUCUAAAUUCCUUGCCAUCAAACUUUCUCAAAGCAUCAAAAACGACCUGUAGCGCAUAUCGUGGAAUAGUAAGUUAUAGGUAAAUUUCAUAGAGAAUAUGCUUAUCAGUAUCCCCACAUUUGUUAAAAGGAAUUUGUAAACACUGGAGAUGUCAACAACUCUUCAUACCUUUGAUCCACACCUGCAAUAAACAUUGUAACACUGGAUUAAAAUCAGAAACAAUAUCAAAUUAGCCUCACCGUUCUGGCUGGAGCAUUAACCCCCAUCGCAAAUGUCUCUGUUGAAAACAGCACCUGCGGAAAGAUUACAAACAAAAGAUUGCCUGAAGCAAUUUAGACGACAAUGAUGUCCAUAAGGUAGUAACCAGAAGCAUGAAAAACAAUUAGCUUGAGCAUUGUAUUUAUCAUGUAGCCUCAUAUAAUUGCACAAGAAUAUUAGAGCCUGAAAUCUUAAACAUACCUUAAUAACACCACGGCAAAAAAGCAUUUCAACAACUUCCUUUACUAUUGGAAGCAGCCCAGCAUGAUGAACACCUAUUCCUCUAUGAAGUAAGCUUUGGACUCUGAGGACCUUUAAAAUGUGUCCCCCCCACAGUUCAUGAGUAGGAAAUCAGGCACCUCUUUGAAUUUAUAAUGAUAGAAACCAGGAAAUUUUAAGAUAGCCAACCUGAGGUAAAUUCCUAUCAGACCCUUUCAAUCUUGAAAAAGCUUUAUCGCAGAAGACACGGAUUUCACUUUUCUCAGAACCAGUAGUGAGGUCAGUCCCAGUCAAAGCGUCAGCACACCUAUCACAAUAAUUCUUUGAGAAACAGAAGACAACCACCUAAUGGGGAAGGAAACAUUAGAGGUUAGACAUAAUGACCAGAAAUGACAACACAUAAGACUAAAUAUAAGAAACAGAACCGACAUCUAACAUACAGGUAACAGGGAUUUUUUUGAGAGCUUGUUGAUAAGCAGUAACCAAUUUGAAGCUGCUGAUCGUCUAAAUGCCCCAUUGUUUUGACUGUUACCACUAUAAGAGGAUUUUGCUAAAUCUUUUGCACUUGAGUGUUUAUUCUGCUUGCCACGAGAAUGAGCCUCAUGUUUCUGGGAUUUGUUCCCAUCUUGAUGAGCAGAAGAUCCUGUAUGCUGUUUAGGAGCGACACUAACUGCAUUUGAAUUUUUCUUCUUUUGUGAAUCUUUAGCAUCCUUUAUUCCUUUAGGAAUAAAAACUUCAUUCUCACAAACUUUGUAGAGUUCUCCAGAAUAAAAUAGGCAAUGCUCUAGGGGAACUGGUCUUUUUGUCGUGCUGAUAACAGAACCCAUAAAAUUAAGAAAUUAAAACUUCACCAUCAACCAAUGAAUUAAAGGAACAAUAUUCUACCAGGACACAUUAAAUCUCACCCAGUAACACGAAUCUCUUUUUGUUUUGUUCUGCCAAUCCAAUCAGCAAAUUCAAAUGUGUUUGGCACCUAUAAGAAAAAUAUUCAUGUUAUAAGUUCAGGGGCACAUUGGGAAAAAGAAUGGAGAAUAAUGACUGAACCACGAAGCCAUAUCUAUCUCCAUAAAUUCUAAGAACUGGAGGGUUAGUUCAUUAUAAUCGCGGCCAACAGAGACCCGAACAAAAGAAAAAAAUCACAUAUUCCUUCCUUUCCAACUCAUCUUAUGUGAAAUUUCAUAGCCAAAUAUAGAUGCAUAGCAAACACAAAAACACCUGAAAAGAAGUAAGGUUUUCUAAUGAUGCACAUAAAAGCAUUAAGAAGUACCGUUGCAGAAAGAAGGACAAAAUUUAUAUGCCUUGGCAGCAUGAUGAUGACUUCUUCCCAAACAACCCCUCUCUCUACGUCAUUGACAUAGUGAACUUCAUCAAAUAUAACCUGCCAGUCAUACGAACGGUAACAAGGAAACAUGUUUUGAGUUUCACACAGAACUACAAAGGCUGCUUAGAAAUAGAGCGAUUUGAGCACAAUAUCAAACACAGAAGAAAGUAAAACAUAAGAAAUAUCUUUUACCCAUUCUAUAUCACGUAUGAUAUCAGCACCACGAUAAAGCAUUGACCUUAAUAUUUCCGUAGUCAUGAUCAGACAAGAUGCCUCUGGCCUUAUGCUAACAUCUCCAGUGAGAAGUCCGACAUCAAAUUUCCCACAAAAAUCUCUGUAUUUUUGGUUGCUGAUGGUUUUAAUUGGAGCAGUAUAAACAGCUCGUGUACAGUGCUGAACAUGGGAAAAUUGAUCAGCCAACAAAACAAGGAAUCUAAUAUACUAAUGCAGUUGAUGUUCUUCAGAAUUAUCUACCUUGGUGGCUAGAGCGAAUGCAUAUUCUGCAACAACUGUCUUCCCCGCUGAUGUAUGAGCUGCUACAAAAACAGACUCCCCCUUCUCUAGACAGCAUAUAGCCUGUAGGCAUAGGACACUUAGUUAUUAACCGAAAAUUCACAUAUAAAAGGUAACCAAGCACAUUCCUCAAAAGUCAUGCAAAUUUAAAAAGUACCUCCUUCUGAAAGUUGUCCAAUUCGAAAGGGAAUUCAAUUGCCAUGUCAGGAACAAGCUCAUAAAAUCGGUCAGCAAUGCCUUGGCUAUCUCCUUUAGUAGCCCAUCCCUAAUGCACCCCAAAUCAUGUUUAUGAGAGGGAAAAUGAAAUCUUAAAAUGCAGAAUCCACAUUCUUACCUCUUUCCGUAGUUGUUUAUCACUGUUCCCAGUAAUUGCCUCUUCCGUCAAUAUUGCUGUCUUUGCUGAUGACAGAAUCUCAUCCAGCACAGUGGCGUCAGUCUCUAUUCCCUUGCUGGCUUCAUUGCUUUUGGUUGCUUUAGCUUGAGGUUCAGCUUCUGCCUUUGGAGACUCAGAUUCAGCUGUAUGCUCAACAUGACAGUUUUGAAUAUCAGACAAACUAACCAAAAGUACGUCUAUAGAAGUUUAACAUGAGUGAUUAAACAACCAUCUCUCUCAAGUUCGGAAAAAGCAUCUUCUUCCCAUGCCUUCUUGAACAGAUCAUCAAACUGAAUAGACAACGUACUCUGGAGGUAUUGACAAUGCAAGGACAUUAAAAAAGAGUUAUUGCCACAAACAAAUAGAGAGUAACUUUAUGUAAACCAGUAACAUUGAUCUACAGACCGACUUUACAUCUGAAGCAUUGCCAUGUGAACUCUGAUCCUCAUAAACGUUCCAAGUUUGAGGAUAUGGCUUUAAAGUACAAAAUGAAAACAGAAAGAAUCAAUCAACAAUGAAUCAUAAAUGAAUUUACUAGGUACAAAAUUAGAUAGUUAUAUUAUAGGAUAACAUACCAUCAGAUCUCCAAGAUCUACACUCUGCUUAAAACUAGGAGGAACGGUUUGAACAGGACCCCCAUUGAGCAAUUCCUGUACCCAUUGGCCACUAGAGACACCCUCUGGAAGGAAUCUUUCUGAAGACUGUGAAUCCUCCAAGCCACCUGGACGGAAAGGGCGAUUAUUGACACUUCCUCUCAGAAAAUCCUUCGGAGGUCCCACCAUUCGUGGAAAAAAUCCAGAAUCUUGAUCUCCAUACAUUUGUUCCGACAAAUCCACCUAAGAUAAUAUGACAAUCCAUUCCUCCCACAAGAGUCAGAAACAGAAAGCUAAUAGCAGGUCAUUCUUCUACAGACAAAUUUUGACUCUCAGAGGAUACAGUAUAUCACUGUCUACAUGAACUAGUUUAAAGUGACAGAAAUGCGUUACCUCCACUGAUUUUGGCUCCCAUGCUCUGUUCUCAGUUUCCUUUUUUUGACGCCUGAAUGGCAACUCCCAAGUGGGAACCACAACGGACCUUGGCAAAGAGGGUUGAAGGGGCACCUUCACCCUGGAAAACCAAUCGAAAUCCCACUGAUUCUCAGCUUUUUCAGCAGAAAACUGAUCCGGUUCCAGUCUUGGUAGGAGAUAUUUUUCCUCAAUAUGUUUCUUUAUUGAUUCUUUUGUUUCCUUGGCAAAUGCAGGAGGCUGAGAAACACGCAUAUACACAAACAUAAAUGAAGCAUUUCAAAAGCCAUAAAGCUUUACUAAUAACCAAGACUUCAUCUCAUAAAAUUUCAAAACACAUCAUCAGUGUGAAAAUCUGAACAUGUAAGAGCAUCCACCAUUGGAUGCCUUUGUAAAAGUAUUCUGGAGUUGUUCAUGUCACUAAUAACUACCACUGAACAAGAAUUUCUAAAGAUUCAAACCUCUCACCACAUGAUAUUUUCAGAAACUUAGCUACUUUUGUUUCCGUUCUUCACCACAUAAUACCUGAUACAACCCUAACUAACUCUUCCCUAAUCAAGUAACCAGAUAGUCCAAUAAUACCACCAUAAUUUUCUUGUUCCAUUAGGAUUGUUGAGGGAAACACUGAGUAAGAAUCCAACUAAGACUUAGUCAACUACAAUACAGAAACAAACAACCUACGUUAUUCAAAAACACAGAGACGCACAGGUACUAGCAAAACGAACUAAUUGAGUAUAUCAAACGCAUCACAUUGCAUUAAGAAAACAAGUGCCUAAGCGAACCCAAUUUUGAAAGAGGUGAUCAAGUUCUCGCAACUAAAUAAAAAAGCUCACGGAUACGAAAUCGGGUAGUGAGUUCACGGCGUCGUCCCUCUCCGCCGUGUACAGAGGCUCAACGCGGAGGUGACCACCAUGACCGGAGAAUCCAACCCGGAAGGCGAGUUCGUUGCCUGCUUGGACUCUGCUCAUUGUGCUUUCUCCCUAUCGUUAAAUUCUUCGCAUUCCCUUUCCUCGCCGUCUCGAAGUAUUCUCAAACUUUUUCAGCGAUCGGUCUGGGAGGGCCCGGUGAAGGAAAGAACAACAAUUAGAUUUCUCUCCGGUUGAGUUCUGCGGCUAUGGAACACCGUGCCGUUUCAUUGCUACAAAUUAGGAAUGUAUGCUGUCUUCAUAUAUCUUAUUUUGGGCUCUGAUUUAGGCCCACACCUAACAAAAUAUGUAUUUUUUUUAAUUAGAAUUAUGAUCCAAUAAAAUUGAGAUUGAAAUCAAUAUAUUUGUUUGAAAAAGCAAGAGAUCAAUAUGUUUGAAAAAAAGAAAAAAAAAAAAAAAGAGAUAGAGAUCAAAUAUAAUUGAUCGUAUCAUAAAUUUUCAAUCUGUUUGAGUUCACCUUUAUAAAGUUUGAUUCACUUUUUUCAGUUUGAAUAAUUAAGUAUUUAUUAUUGAAUCAAAGACUUAGAACAAAGAUUGUAUUUUAUAAAGACUUCUUCUUUAUUGCUUUAGAAAAUUACUCAAAACUAAAGUUCUUACAAUCUCUCUCAAAACUCAUAGGUUAACCACACCUUGGCAACUCUAUAUAUAUAAGGAAAUCGGUAGGAUUAACUCUGGCCAUGAAUGUUUUGUAGUUUUUAAAUGGGUUUUAGCUUUUGGUUUUUGGUUUUUGGCUUUUGGUUUUUGAUUUUUUAGUUUUUGAUUUUUGCUGUAGAUUUUAUUGUUAGAAAGCUGAAAAAAAUAGUUUUUAGUUUUUAUGAAGGAAUUGAGCAAAUUUCACAAAAUCUGGUUUCCCUAAAUUUAAGGAAAUCUACUUUUAUAAGAAUUGUGAAUGGCAAUUUUUCUGGUUUUUUAGAAUCAAAAGCCAAAAACCAAUCAAAGAACUGCAGCCAUUUAAGGCCUCUAGCUUGCACCUCAAGCUUUCUUUAAUAUCUUCAAGCUUAGAUCAACAUUUAUCACUUCUUUAUAUGAAAAAAAAAAUAAUGAUUUGUAUAAGAAUGAAAAAAUUAUUUCAGUUUGUGGUAACUUGGUGAUUUGUCUUGCAAUAAUAGUCUAGCCAAGUCGAUCCAAUGUUUGUACUUGACUGAUCGUUAGGGAAUGAAGUCAUUCAAAUUUAAAAUUUCAUAAUGCAUUUCGUUGAUCGAAUUUUAUUAAAACAGAUCACGUAAAUCCAAAAUCAGAUUUAACAUUCACAUAUACAGUAUAUAGAACUGAGUCAAGCCACAAAGUACACAAUAGACAAUAAAUAUAGAAUUAAACUAAGGGUUUAAGAAACGGAAGAAACACAAUACAAUAAGAAAUUAAAAAAAAAAAUGAGGCGAAGCGAAGCGAAGCAAGUAAUUCGCAAAUAUUACGAAAAUAUUCGAAUAUUCGAAGUUCCGAAUACUCGAAAAUUUACGAAUCGAAGCAAAUAGCAAAAUCAACUAUUCGAUCGAAGCGAAGCAAAUAACAAAUAUCACAAAUUUUCCGAAUAUUCGCUUCGUGCCCAGGGCUAAUUGAUUGGGACAAAAAAAAUCAUUAAAACCAAAUACACAUUCAUAUAGCAGUUUACAGAACGUUUCCUUGAGCAAAAUCAAAAUAUUGCAAACUUCAUGAACUAUACAUACGAAAAGGUUCAUCAUUUAUUUCAUUUUGAUUAUACUCUUAUGAGAUCUUAUAUUAUAUAAUAUCGACUUUGGAGUUGUGUGGAAUUGGAGAUGUCUUGGUAAGGAAGGUCGGGUUUGCGCGAACGAUAUCAGGACUUAGGGAACAGGACAAGCCUCUAUGUUCCAAAUCUCUUUGGCAUACUGAGCUAUCGUACGGUCACUGCUAAACUUUCCUGAACCGGCUGUGCUCAAUAUCGACAUCUUCAGCCACCCCUUCCGGUCCCUGUCACAACACAUUAUGAAUCCAUUGUCACGUUAUAGAAUUUGAGUAUUCAUUCAGCUACUGUAAAAAAACCUAUGAAUAUAUGAGUUGAGUUUAAGAGAUGGUCUUACUUAUAAGCUUCAUCAACUUUGGCCUGAGCGUCCAUGUAGCUAGGGAAAUCAUACCCAACCAGGAAGUAAUCACCACGUCCAAAACCUGUGUUACCCUCAAGAGAAUCAAGGAGCGGACCAUAAUCGUAGGUCCCAAACACUCCACUUUUCACAAACUGCUUCGCCUCUUCAAACCGAGGAUCGGGUUUGAACUGAUAGUUUCCACAUGCACAUAAACAUUUCAUGUCAGAGAAAGUACAGAAGCAUUUCACUAAUAAGGCGCUUCAUGAAAAGGAGACUCGCAUUUGUUCCAGAGAGACAAAAAAUAUGCAAGGGAGAAAAGGAGAUAGUGACAUACCAGUCCGUCUUCUCUUUCUUUACGCAGUCGAGGGACCUGAUCAGCUGUUGCACCAAAAAGAAAGAAAUUUUCUUCGCCAACCUCCUCUCUUAUCUCAACAUUAGCCCCAUCAAGGGUUCCUAUGAUAAGGCAACCAUUAAGAGCGAAUUUCAUAUUGCUGGUACCACUUGCCUCCAUGCCUGCUGUGCUGAUGUGUUGAGAUAGCUCACUUCCAGGUAUAAGCAUCUCUGCUACAGUGACAUUGUAGUUUGGGACAAAUACCACCUAGAGAGGCAUAUUUGUUAAACCAGUUAAAAAUUUCUUCAAGCCAUGUUAGUGAAAAUAAAGGAGAAAAGCAAUUCAUUGCAUUUGCAUCGAAGUAGCAACAAUAAGAAAGCUUUGUUCUCGGAAAGGAGGCUUGAGUAGCAUUAAACUUAACCAAAAGAAACCAAGUUUAUCUUGAGAUAUGCAAACAUCUGAAUAUGGACAUUGACAGAUCAACAACAAACUCAAGCAAACAUCACUAUCACACAAUCAAACAAGCAUCGUGGUUAGCCAUCUCAAGUUACACGUGCAACAUUUUAUGAAGACUCAGAGCAAUUUUACCUUUAGGUAUUCGUUGACCUCUGGAUCGCUGUUAACAACGUCGCCCACAUCAUUCACUAGUUUCACUAUCCGUUUUGCAUUUGUAUAUGUUGCAAAUGCUUUACCCCCAAUCAUGACAGUACGAGGAACUGUUUUCUUCCUUUCCUCAGGUUUCAUCUCCUGUACCAUUCAACCGCAGAAAAGAAUGUCACACCAGAAAUACAUGCAUGACCUAAGCGAUGGUUUAUCAAUUUUUUUGGUUAAAGCAUCAAAAGCUGCCAAUGAAGCUUUAUGAGUUUUGGCUCGAACCAACAUUUAGAAAUCUCAUAAAAGUUUGGAAUUUUUUGCCAAAGGAAGGGGAGUACGCUGAAGUAUUUAACUUAUUUUUACUCGUUUAUAUAGCAUUAGGUCUACCAUAACUUUUCACGCAAAGGUAAAAACAUAGAUAAAUUACUAGGAAUCAUAAGGCAAAUCCAGAUAGAUGGGUAAGCCAACUAUACCUUUAACUUUUUGAAUCUGUAAAUUACUCCAAGAAUGUUCAUCAGCUGCCUCUUGUAUUCGUGGAUACGCUUAACUUGUAUGUCAAAUAAGCUUGUUGGAUCAAUACUCACGCCAGUUACACGCUCUAUAUACUGAGCCAAACGUUUCUUAUUGGCUGCCUUUGCAGAAGCCCAUUCAGAUUGGAGUUCUUCAUUGUCCGCAAACUAGCAGAAGAAGAGAUAACAUCAGAAUGACAACAUAAAAACCCAUCGCAACUCUGGUGCUCAAAAGGAUAAAAUCAGACCUGCCGAAGACCAGUAAGUAGGUCAAGAUCAGUGAUCCACUUGUCAGUCUUCAACCACUUUGUGAUUAUAUCACUGAGCUCAGGGCUGCAGAAACGUAACCACCUCCGAGGUGUGAUGCCAUUAGUCUUGUUUUGAAACUUGUUUGGCCAUAUAGAGACAUAGUCUGCGAAUAACUCAGCCUUCAAGAUAUCACUGUGUAAUUGAGCAACGCCAUUCACCUGCAAAAAGGCUCUCAUAAUGAGCACUUCAAACCAAGAAGACUAAAUGGGAUUUAGAAUCAAUAUAAUAUAAUUUUGACAGAGGGAUCACUUACUGUAUGCGAGGAUACAACACAUAAGUUAGCCAUUCUCACCACAGGCUUUUGUGGAUUGUUAUCUAAGAUGCUUAAACUUGAAAUCUUGUCCUCAAGAUCAACCCGUGUAUCACGAAUAGUUUUCACAAACUGCAGAAUGGUAAUACUCUAUUAGUAAGAGAAGACAGAAAAAAAAUCCUUAGAAUGAUCAGCAAAAUACCCUCUUAUCAAUCUCUGUUAUUAUUUCCAUAUGACGAGGAAGAAGCUUCCACAUCAAAGAUUGUGACCAUUUCUCCAAUGCUUCGGGAAGGACAGUGUGAUUGGUGUAAGCAACGGUCCUGCAAACCUUACAAGUAAGUCCAAACAGAAAGGUGGAAAAAAAACUGUUGGAAAUACUGAUUGGUUUCAUGCACAAAUGUAAUACCUCGAUGUCACAUCCCAAGCUUCAUCCCAUCCAAGUCCAUUUUCAUCCAUUAGCAAUCGCAUGAGCUCAGGGAUUGCAAGAGUUGGGUGUGUGUCAUUCAUUUGAACAGCAACUUUACUUGGAAAAUCUGACCAUUUUCGGCUGCCUUCGGUCGUACUCCUCUCAUGAAAUCUUGAUAUAAUAUCCUGCCAUAAGUUACCAUAUUGUGAAGAGGAAAUAUUAAUAAAAUUAUGCCAACAUGAAAUGUUUUCGUAUUUAUAUUUGCCCACGAUUAAUCAAUUACAUCCCAUUAUGACACCCAUCAGAGAGUCCUAAGUUGAUCCAAUACGUUAUGGCUUAAGAAUAUGAAGAAAAUGAAAGGAACCUACAACAAAAGUGACAAACCUGAAGCGAAGCACUGCAGAGAAAGAACUGUUGUUUUAAGCGUAAUAACUUCCCAUUCUCGGUAGCAUCUCCUGGAUAUAACACAGUGCAAAUCUGCAUAUAUAUUAAUUCAUUGUUAGAGAGAAACAGAAAGCCACAAAGCAAAAUAAGAUAGAGCAGUAGGUAAAAGAUAACGUGUUAUAACCUGUUGAGCUCGAGAAUGUAGCUGCGCAGCCAAUUCAUACUCUCCUUCAUUGAACUGAUAAAGAUCAAGAUCCUCCGCCCUAGCUUUUGCUUCCCAGAGACGGAGACUGAUUGUGUUCUUUGUGUUAUAUCCCGGGAUUGGCACGUCAUAAGCAAGAGCUUGUACAACAUCACCACCUACCCAUUUCCGUCUGCAAAAUAGUCAGUUGAUCAAUUGAAAUGCUUAAGAGCAAGCUCGGUGAAAAGUCAGAGAACACAUAGCAACACUCCUGGUGUAUACAUCCAUAGAAAUUUCAAGUACAGACAUAUGUUUAGUCAUUUAAGUUUCAACAUUGAAACUUACGAUCCAUCUGGGUUUACUUGCACACUGCCGAAAAAUCUGACAGGGAAUACUACGUCGUGCCUUACAAUUUCCCAUGGGCUGAACUUCUGCAAAUUCCCAUAAAAAUAGGAUGAGGUACAGUCUCAAAACCAUCGGUUGAUAUCACUACAUUGAUAAAAAUCACCUCAAGCCAGUCCUCUGGAAUCUCUUCUUGACCUUUCUGUGAGAUAAGUUGCUUGAACAGCCCAUGUCUGUACCUCAAACCAUAACCCCAAGCAGGCAAAUUUAGGGUGGCCAUCGAAUCCAAGAAACACGAGGCAAGUCUCCCCAACCCACCGUUCCCCAGAGCUGCAUCUUUCUCCUACGAUUUCAUGGCAUAAAAGCUCAAACAUUUCCAAUGGUAUUGGAAAGAUUAAAAAAAAAAUCAUCAAUAUCCCAAGUAACUCAAAGAUACCUGCUCAGCUAUCUCCUCAAGCUCAUAACCAAGCUUACGCAGUGCAUCAGCAUAUGGACCUUGAAGGUUCAAAUUCCCAAUGGCAUUUGUCAAAGCACGACCUUGGAGAUACUCCAUAGACAAGUAGUAUGUUUGUUUUGGAUCCACUUUGUUAAAAUGAACAUAAGUCGCAUUCCACAGCUGCAAAACAAUUCACACAACCCAAGUUUAUAUCACUCUCACAGAAACACACAAAUAAAACAUUCAUACACACUAAAAAUUCAAUUGAAUCUAACUACCAGAAGCCAUAAAUUCCAACAAACUCAUAUCUACUUCACGAGCAUAUCUUCAUCAAACAAAACUUACGGAACAGUCCACAAACAAAGAAACACUGAAUACCUCAAUGAGACGAUCGCGAAGACUCUCAGCCGUAGCAUAAAGAGCUUGCUCAGGCCCGAACUUCAACGGAGAGAAAUGUGGACUGUACUUAGCGUGGUAGAGGAUAUUCUGAGCGAUCUCCGUACCUUCAGUAGCCUCCGGAAUCGCCUUCGCCGAGAUUCCCUCCGGCAAACUAGUCGCAGCUUUUCCAUUCGUGUUCGCCAUAGCUUAUCUCCCUGAAACACAACCACUGUAAUUCAGAAAUUUGCUUAAAUACACUCAGAAAAAUUCAAAAUUAUUGCCGAAGUAAAGAUUAGCGAGAGCAAUUACCAAAUUUCGAAACUGGAAUCUGGGAAGAGAUGAACAAACACUUCGAGAGGGCUUAUGAAGCAGAAGAAGAUACUGUGGAGAGAAUCAGUAUAUACUAAAAAAGAAGCGUAAGAUAUUUCUCACAAGAGGUAAAUGACAGAAACGUAAUUUUCUUUGUUUUUCUUUGUUUUUCUUUAUUUUGAUUUCUUUGUUUGUGUUGUUCGGGUGAUUUGAUGAAUUGUUUUUUUUUUUCUGGAAGGAUUGAAAAUGUGAGGAUCACAAGAAAAGAGAGAGUGAACUAGUGAAGUUUUUAUGUGUCAGAGGAAAGCACAGAAGAGCUUUGUGAUUUUUGUUUGUGUUGAAAAUAUCUAGAGAAGCCCCCACAUCUCUUUGUUUUUUAGUUAGAGAGACCCUUAAAUAUUAUUUUUCGUAUAAAAGAACACCCUUGUAUUUUGGGAAUUGAGGACCGUUGAUUAUUUUAUUUUCUACGAAUUUAAUUAGAAAGAAAUAUUGAUAACUCAAAUGUAGACGUUCAUUGAAAGCAAAUAAAAUAAGGAAUUUGAUCGAAGAAAGAGAAUGAGAAAAGAAAAUAAUCAAACAAGUAAAAUUCUGAAAUUUUCUAAUUUCCAACAUUUUUUUGCAAACGGAAGAAACUAGAAAAAUGGAAAUAAUCUGAGUAAAAAAGCCAAACGUAGUGACUCGCUUACGUUAUCCCUACUAUAGUAAAAGAGAAAUACAAAAGUUUCUUGGGUCGGGUUUUUUAAAAAAAAUUAACCCGAAAUUUUUCAAUUGGAUCUUACUAAAAAUUUAAAAAUAUUAAAUACCAGUUUCCAUAUAUAUUAUUUCGAAAUCUACCAAAUUAAACCAUCAAUAUCGGUUUUGGAAAGUACAUUAAUCUUAAUUUGUUUAAGGAAAAAUACAUUAAUGUAUGAUUUUGUAUAUUGGUUUAACAAAUUAACCUAAAAAUCAGAAAUAUAAAUUAAAUAUAAAAUUUAUCAAAUUAUCCAUAAUAUUUCAAAGCAAAAUGUUCCUUAAAUAUCUUAUAUUAAUAUUUAGAUGUAUAGUUUUCUCCUAUAUUAACUAUGAUCUUCACACCAAUUACGGGAUAAUUCAUUUUCAACCAUCUUUAAUAUAUUUAUUUGGCAAUAGUUUCGAAUUUCUGGCUUGAUUAUAAAGCUAAUCUUUUUUUCAACGCUAACCUAACUCUAAGAAAAUAUUAUCUAUGUAAAUAAGUUUCUGCUACCAGAAAAUUGUAACAUAAACACAGAUUUUACAUUUUAACACGAUAAGAAAUAAGAAAUCAUUGGCUCUUUAUUUGUUUAUUCUAGAGAUUUGCAAUUUUACAAAACUUCAUGAAAGGUCCAAGUUAAAAUCAUGUAUUUAUGAUUAUGCGGUGUACCGCGGGUCAAUCCCUAAACUUUAAAAAUGAUUCAUAGUAUAAUAUUUAUACAUGUAUAUAUGUCACAUAUUGUUCUAAAAUUAACAAUCCAACUAAAAUCAUACAAUUUAAAUAAUUUUGAACAUAUUCGAAACCAACACAAAAAUACAAUCUAAAAAUGAUAGAAUUUAAUUAAUAAUCAAAAUAAAGUAAAGCAAACACAAAUAAAUUAUCCCGCAACGUACAAAGGAUUAAAAACCCGGUAAUUUUCCCACGCGCUGUAGCGCGGGUCCGAAUCUAGUGCAUACGGUAAUGAGAGGUACUAAAAGUGAGAAAGAGAGCUAACACGAACACGUGUGUACGAAAAUCACGAAGUUGGGAAAGUGCGCGCACCUCGGAUCACGGAUCUGCACCUGCUGCCAACUUCACUUUUCCUCUGCUUCCGUGUCCUUUUUAGAUUAAUGAUUCAGCUUCUUCGAGGCCUAAGAUCUUUAACAUAUCAUUAACAAAAGGCGUUUCAUUACACUGAACACAGAAACACUUGCUACAUUUGUUCUAUCAAGGAGAAGAAGACGAAAGUGGACAUCUUUUCUAAGUUCUAUACAAGGCCGAUAUAAUCUUGUUCCUGAUAUGUACUUGAUGAAAAGAAGCUUGAUUCUAUUUAGAGUUGCAAUUAACUUCUCUCCUGGCUAAUGUUCCAUCUCUUAUAAGUGGAUUUUGUCCUGCUUCAAGCUGCUAAGAAGACCAUCAAAAUCAUGCAAAUUAUUGGAACAAUUUAUUAUAAAAAUGAACCCCAAAAAGCAAACAGCACAACUCAAGAACUACGAGAUAGGGACAGACCUGUUGUGUCAAAAUCGACUCUUUCUCCAGUUGCGUAUAUGUUGUAAAAGAGAGCGGAGAGGAGAUAUAAAAUUGCUGUAAGAAGGAUAAAUCCUUGGAAGGAACCCAGUCGUUCUACAAAGAAACCAGUUCCAACUGUACCAACUAUUGCAGCCAAUGUUCCAGCAGUAAGACACAUUCCUAUAACAGUAUUAAAGGUCAAUAACAGUCAAAAUAUUUUCUAAGGCCAAUUCCUUCUCAGAGGUACAAAGGAGCUAUCGGUGAUAAUUGAGAACCUAAAGGAACUAUGGAAACCAGUGUCUGUUAAAAGGAGAAUAAGAAUGUGUACCAUGUAGAACACCGGAAUACUCUGGAGCAAUUUCCUGAAACAUGAAAAAAUCAAUGUUAAAGAUACUCAAAAUUUGUGGUGGCUUAAGUAUGAAUCACACGCUUGGGUACCUGAAGGUUAAUAAGAAAACCCAAAUGGCUGAAUGAUUUUAGCCCAACAGCUAAACUGAGCCAGGCUGAUGCUACUAAAGGUUGUUUUGCUGUCGUUAGACCAAUAAGAGAAAUUCCAGGACCAAUGAAACCAAUGGACUACCAAAACAAGAAAUAUAACCCCCCAGUCAGAAAAAAGAAAAGUGAAUGCAAACUUCAACAACAUUCUGAUAUGUAAACAGAACUCUUCAUUCCGUGUGGCCUCUUGAUUGAAUGAAUUCUGUAACACAUGAAUCACAAACCUGCAUAAUUUUCCGCGUUAAGGUGAUGCUUGUACCACGCCGUAUCAACAAGUCCGACCAAAAACCAGCAAUGUAUCCAGUGAAAGCCAUCAUACUCCAUGGAACAGCACUAAACCAAGCAGCUUGUUUGAGGUUCACAUGAUAUACCUGCGACACGAUAUUCUCUGAAAUUUCUUAAAAUACUAAAAAGAAAGAUUCUAUUUAGAAUUUGUUGGUGAUAGAGACUUACUGAAUUGAAGUAUAUGGGCAUCCAUGAAAGAAUCACAAAGAAACCCUGGAAAUAAGUCAUUAAGUCAGUUUAAUGAAUUACAACAAAUAGGAAAACACCUGAUCAUAACUGUAAGUCACAGCAGUUGGUGCUACCAAUUCCACUUCCAAAGUAAACCUCACAGUAACAAGAUUGAAAGAGUUGUAUUGAGAGGAAUAUUUAUACAUACCCAGCUAUGCAUGGAAUUUGCAACUAUAACAGCCCAAGUUGGCAUCUUGGAGAGAAGGCGUCCAAAAGGAGGUAUUCCACCUGUGAUGUAUUGUUUGUUCACCCUAGUAGAUGUUUGCUGCUUUUGCUUUAUAUACUCAAGUUCAGACUUUGUAAUCUGAGGAUGUCGAUCUGGUGCACUUGACGUUGCAGAGAGCCACACAAGCAACCAGAGGAACCCCGAUAACCCAAAAAUUACAAAUGGACCAUAUAUACCACCUUGAGACAUGAGAAUAGGAGAUAACAUGAGUCCUACAACAUUCCCAAGCUGAAACCCCGCCAUUGCAAUACCAACCGCCCUAGAACGUUCUGUUGGGGGAAACCAUCUACAUCAAAAGUACCAUCACUAAGAACCCUAUAAAUCCAAGAAACUAUUGUCUGCUCGUUUCGAAAUCAUGAGUGUGCCUCUAUCACAUUUUGAAUAUUCUGAGAAACAUAACAUCACUACCUUGCAACCAUGUUGUUCAUGCAAGGAAGAGCUACUCCUUCAGCAACUCCAACCAUAGCUCUUGCAGCAAGCAGAGCCAACAAAGAAGUAUCAGCUGCCCAAGGAGUAAGAAAAGUAGCCAAAGACCACAAAGCCACACCCCAUGCCAUGACUACUUUACCACCAUAACGGUCCACCAAAGUUCCGCCAGCUAUUGGUGAAAUCAGGUAUCCCCAAAGAAACGAUGACUACCCAAAGAAACAUUCAAGAAAGUAUGAGACAAUGCUGUACAGUAGAACGGCUUAGUACUGAAGUUACCAAACAAAUUAUGAAGAAAUCAAAAAUGUUGAGAGAGUUAACCUGAACGAUACCGGAAAAAGAUUUGCUCCAUCCACGAGAAAGCGAAAGAGGAACAAUCGCAACGGACAUCACAACACGAUCCGCAUUGCAUAGCGCCAGAGCAAGCGCGAGCAUCGCAACAACCUUCACUCUCUCCGACGUUAUAAAUUCCGAAAAAUCAGGUUGCACAGUCACCUCCGCUGACGUCUCUCCCGGCGUACGGCGAGAAUCGCUGCAAGACACUCUUAAUCGAUGACGCUGAAUAACACCACAUAGAUCGACGGAAUUGUUCCCGUCGAAUCUCAAUGCGCCUACGCCUCUACCGGAGCAGAGUAACAACUUUUUCCGACGAUCUCGGUCCGGCAACGACGGAAACCUCACUGUAGGUAAGUACGAAGUCAAGACAGCUCGAUCUCCAUGGAUUUUUGGGGUUUUGCGAUUACGGAAGUCUAUUGAAGAUUGUGAAGAGAGAGAGUAAUACAUUUUCACCUAUCGGAGCUGCUCAGUGAUGAUUAGUCCGGUAACUGAAGAAGAAGACGAAGAAGAAGUUGCUCGCUCGGAUUGCAAUUGCAACAACCAAAUCGCGUGAUGCGGGGGAGUGACACAUCCGUAUCGUUUUAGGCCCACUAACAUAUAACAGGCCCAUAUUGAUUGGGUUUCAUGAUUAAGUAAUUUAAUGUUUUCCGAUUAGCAUGAUUAUAAUUUAUAAGUGCAUCAUGCAAUUUAUUUUUUCUUAAAUUAGAGUGUUCAGUUCUUGAGAUUAAGUCAUUCAUCUGAAGCUAAGAAAACAAAAAAAACUUCUUCCCUCAAAAAUAUUUUAUAGUUAAAAUUACUUUUGUGACAAAAACUUACAAUAAAGCAAAUUGAAAGACAAGCCAACAUUAAUGUCAUAAAAAAAAUUAUAGACUUAAAUACCAUAUUGUUGUCAACUAUAAAAAUAUGCUGCAUUUUGUAUUACACCAUUUACGUUUUGUAGAAUGAAUUAUCCAAAAAAAACCAUUGGUGUUUGAACAAAAAUUCCUUAACUAAAAAAAAAAAAAAAAAAAAAAAAAAAAAAAAAAAUCCUUAACUUUUUUUACUAAUAUCUUUACCCUCAUAAUGUCUUGGAAAAAUCAAAAAUAUUAAUUAUCAGUCACUGUAUUUGGACUUUGGAGUAAACACGUGAAAAAUCCCAGUCUUUUAUCAGAAAAUGAGAACAAUUACAGUAAAAUCUGUAUAUGCCGACAAAAAGAAAAAGAUACUACAAAAAUAGUUUUGGCUUCGGGACUUAGACCAUCUCCAAUGGUUAGAACCAUGGGAGGGUGCUUAUUCCUUUUUUUGCAUUAAUUUUUUAAAAAUAAAUUUAUAAAUAGCCCUUAGUCUUUGCUUAAAGAGUUAAUUUAGACAACAAAGCUUAUGAAAAGUGCUUGAUUUGCAUUAAAUAUAACGCAAUAAAUAUAGGCAAUGUCUUAAGGUUCCCAUUAAGCAAUGCCAAUGGAGUUGCUCUUACUAAAUUGUUUUUUUUGAAGAACUACAAGUCUCUCUCUUGUCUUGGGAACUUGUCGUAGAUCCGAAUCUCUAUGUUUUUACUCAUGUUGGUCACUUUAGUCGAAUUAGAUUCCUUUAAAAUCCGUAAAUUAAAGCAAAAAUAAUCUCAUCAAAGAAAAAACUAGUCACUGCACUCUCACUCUCUCUCUCUUAAGUCACCGCCGCACGCAAGCAAAGCAACGAACCACCUCUCUCUCUCUCUCUCUCAUAAGCAAUGGCUAACGUCAAACAAACCAGUCGCCGUCGUUCUUCUUCCUUAUGUCACCGUCACCCUUCCGCUAAACCAACCAGCGGUUUCUGCGCUUCUUGCCUCCGUGAACGUCUCGUCACUAUAGAAGCUCAGUCUUCUUCUUCCCCAGCCGCCGUUCAGACUCCUGAGCUCCGUCGUAUUCGAUCACACUCUGUUCGUAACGCGUCAGUCUCUGUUUUAACUCAGCCGCGGCGGAGAUCGUGUGACGCUAGGUCAAGCGCUAGCUCUCUACACGAUCUGUUUGUCGAUGAUGACGAAGAACGUUUGGAUAGUUCGAUUCGGAAGCCUCUGGUUCCGGAGUUGAAAGAGGAAGAAGAAGAAGAAGAAGAUUACUUCGAUGGAGAAGAUAUCAAAGGUUUUGAUGAAGGCAAGCCGAGGAAGAUUGUUGAAGAAGAAGAAGGUAUAGAGAACAAGACGAUGAAGGAGUUUAUAGAUCUUGAUUGGGGAAACCAAAUCAAGAAGAACAAUGGUACUAAGGAAAUAGCAUCGGUUUUGAGUAGGAGACUUAAGAUCUUUUCAUUGAAUCAUCACAAGGAGAAGAGAAAAGAUGAACAGUCAGAUUCUAGAUUCGUUCUUGGUCGUCACUCUUGUGAUGUGGAUCCUAGAUUGUCUUUUGAUGGAGGUAGGAUCUCGUUUGAGAAGCCAAGGGCUUCAUGGGACGGAUGCUUGAUUGAGAAAUCGUAUCACAAGCUGACGACAUUGUCUACUGUGACAGAAGAUGCUAAAGCUAAAUGUGGUGGUAAAGAAGAAGAAGAGGAGGAGGAGGAGAAGAGUCCUGGUGGGACAGUUCAAACGAAGAACUAUUACUCGGAUUCCCGUAGAAGGAGAAGCUUUGACCGAUCGGUUUCGAUUAAGAGACAUGGAUUGCUUGAGGUUGAUGAUAUGAGAGGUAUUUCGAAUGCUAAGGUAUCACCUGAAACUGUUGGUUUGUUUCAUGGUGCUAAGUUAUUGGUUACAGAGAAGGAACUUAGGGAUUCUAAUUGGUAUUCGAUCAAAAAUGCUAAACCAGAGAGUAAAGAGUUAGUUUCUAAAGGAAAGAUUUGUAUUGGUGCUGCUGGUGAGGGGAAGAAGCAGGAUAGUGUAGAGUUAAAGAAACCUAGAAAGAAAUGGCCAAAGGGAUGGAACAUUUGGGGACUGAUACAGAGGAAAAGCGAGGCGAAGAACGAAAUCAAAACCGAGCAAAGUUUGAAACUUGAAGGGAAUGCAGUUGAGGGUUCUUUGGCUGAGUCUCUGUUGAAGCUUAGGAGAGUAAGUAAAGGAGAAACCAAUGGUGGUGUUAGUGAGAAGCUAUUGAAAAGCUACAGCGUAAGCGCGAGAAAGUCUUGUGAUGGUGUGUUUAGUGGUGCUAAUAUUUCCAGUGGCUUUGAAGGUGGAAGAAGCUCCUGUGAUGGUUUGUUUCAUGGAUCUAUUAACAGUGUUGAGGUUGGAAGAAGCUCCUGUGACGGGUUGGUUAAUGGCAUUGAGGAUAAACAAAAUCCUCAUCUACUCCAGAGAAACGCCAAUGUUGGUACGCGCGGCCGAGAAAAACUUGAGAAUAGUUUGUUUAGAUUCCAUAUGACUCCUGCAAGGAGCCAUAAGACUAGCAAAUCCGGGAAGAGUAGGCUGAAGAAUUAGUUUGAUCUAACAUUUGUGUUAGCUCUUGAAUACCCUAUUGUAAUUAGCAACUAAUGUAUUUGUUUACUUUGGUCUAUAGAUAAGUGAACUAAGAUUCUAUUGCAAUUAUGUCCAUAGUCAUACUGUUGAGAUUCCUUAAUAUCACAUCUAACAACAAUUUUUGUUUUUCUUCUCCUAUCUUUUCCUCAUAAAAGCACUUAAACAAUACAUUAUUUUCUAGUCACUGUUUGCUUGUAGACAUUCGAAAUUGCGGGUAAUAUAUGUUCAUAAGAUACUUCCCCAAUGUGACUGGUGAAGUUACAGUGGUUUUGAAUUGAGACUGAAACCAAAAGGGAACAAUGGAUCAUAUGAAUUGGCAUUAGCAUCUAGUGGCAAAUGCUCAACACGUUUGAACCAGCUCACAGGUAAUUUCCCCUCGAAGUCAUAAUCUCCAAAAAUAACGUCAGCCAUCCCUUGCCCUUCUGUUCCAGGCAGCCAAGCAGCAACCAGAGCAUCUGUCUUUUCAAGAACUCUCUGCUCCAAAACCACAGGUCGUCCUGAGAUCAGGACCACCAGAGUAGGGAUUUUCUCUGCGACUGCGGUGACAAUGUCGCUACCAUUGAACGGUAUUGUGAGUUCCGAGUUAUCCCCUGUUGCCUCUGCAUAGGGCGGUUCCCCGACUGCAACAAUGGCAUAAGAGAAUCCUUCACUCGAGGCUAAGGUUUCCUUUGACGGAUUUUUCUCGUAGAUUACUUCGGUUUUGUCUCCAACUACUGCUUUUAUGGCAUCCAAAAGCGUCGUGCCUACAUUUUAGACAGACACAGAUUCAUGUUGAUUAACUUUACAACAGCAUCUUAUAGCCUCUGCUAAACAAAAGUCCCUUUCUAAACCAAAUAGCAAUUACUUUACUUACCAAUUGUGAUCCUGCCGCUUAGACCAAACCAUGUCUUUGUCCAUCCUCCACACUGAUAUCCAAGAUCAUCUGCAUGAGUUCCAGUGACUAGAAUCCUCUUGGCUUUGCGAUCUAGAGGCAGAAACGGUUUAUCAGCAUUUUUACCAUUCUUUAACAGAACUAACGACUUUCUAACUGCUUCCUGCGCCAAUUCUCUAUGUUCCUGCACACAUGGAAAAAUCUUAGAAUAAGGCAGCACUCUGGUCUAAUGACAUUCAGUACAAGAGAGCUCACCUUGCAACCAACAGUACGCAACAAAGAUCGAUCAGUGAGAGGAUGUUCGAAGAGACCAGCGACAAAUUUCACUCUGAGUAUUCUUUCAACAGCAUCGUUGACCCGAUCCAUCGGUAUUUCCCCUGACUCUACUAGAUCUGUCAUGUCUUGUAUGAACUGGUCGUACUUUAAUGGUACCAUCACCUGCAAUAACAUUGAUUAUACAAUCUUCACCCUGACAAUCAUUCAAAAUGAUGAAAUAUUUUGCUAAGCUGAAAUAUUUUGCUAAGCUGAAAUAUUUCGAAUACGGGAUUCAGAAUCUACCAUGUCAAUGCCAGCAUUGACCGAAGUUUUAAUGCAGUUGCGGUAGUUUGAUCCCUGAGGCUUACUAAGCCGGUCCAAACCUUCCCAGUCAGAAACUAGAAAACCCUGGUGGCAUAAACAAGAAAACUAGCUUUAUGCAUACACUUCUAGUUUAUUCCUAUUUUUUCAUUGGUACUCAAUUAAGUUUUGCACAAACCUUGAAACCGAGUUUGUCCUUGAGAAUUUCUGUCAAGAGAAAACGGUCGGCGUGGAGUUGAGUUCCAUUCCAACUGGAGUAAGACGCCAUAACCGUGGAGACUCCCUGAGAAAGACACUUAAGAUAUGGAGUAAUGUGUAUCCUCUCUAAGUCUUCAUAUGACGCAAUGGUGUUCCCUUCAUUAAUGCCCUUGUCAGUACCACCAUCUCCUACAAAGUGUUUGGCGCAGGCGACAACAUUGUUUCUAUAACCCAGUAAACAAAUCUAUGAGACAUGACAUCAAAUCUACUAAAGACCAAAAUCAAACCACAGUGUAGUGUUUUAUUUGAUACCUUCCUGCAACAAAAGGGUAGCCAUUUGGGUGUUCUUCUGGUGGCACGCCUUGUAGGCCUGAGACAAGCGAAGUCAUCUCGGAGACAAGUCCGGGAUCUUCUCCAUAACUCUCAUAGCAUCGUCCCCAUCUCGGAUCUCUCAAGACCUGUUAGAAAGACAAAAUAAAAACAUUCAAUUCAAAAUUCUUACAAAUCAUUUUGUUCAAUUUCAGUUGUUAGAUUUACAUAUAUAAAAGGGACUUACAGCAACACAGGGAGAAAAUGCCCAGUGAACACCACUAGCCCUUACUUCAAGUGCAGUUGCAGCUCCGAUUCUUCUAACCAAAUCUGCAUCUCUACAGAAUUGCCAAAACUUAUCAUGUUAAUAACAACCAAGCAACCACAUCAUGGCUGCAACAAAAGCACCUAUCUUGAACACAAUCAGACUCUAAUCACAACUACUGCAAUACCACCACUACUACUACAUUGUAAUCAGGAGCUAAGUGAAGCUAAUCACAAUUUUAAAUAGGUAAUUGAAUCCAGUCCACAAAGCAAGUUUCAUCAGAAAGACAAAAAACAGAACAAAACAACCUAGACCAAGACCAAGACUCACAGUCCAAAAUGUGAAAUUAUCUAAGUGUAUGCAACUAUCUCUCACAGAUCAUUGUAGUUUGCUUAGUUAAUGGUGUAAAACCUGGUGGCUCCUAGGCCGAUGUUGUGAGGGAACACGGUGGCGCCGUAGACAUUGUUGUUGCCAUGGACAGCGUCAGUGCCAUAGAUGAUUGGAAUUCCCAAACGCGACGCUAACGCUGAACGCUGAAAACCGUCGAUCAUAUCCGCCCAAUCCGACGACUUAGCAUCCUCGAACGGCGCACUCCCACCGGCGUUUAGUACACUUCCUGUAACACCAAAUUCAUAAAUUUAUAUUCUGAUUAUAUAAAAAUCCAUUUUCCAAGAAUCAAAAUCACAGUAAAAGAAAAGACAAGAACUGCGUGGUUUGUGUGUACCGAUGAAAGAAUCUGUAAUGGCGACAGGAGAAGCAACGUUUCGUUCAAUCUGAGUCAUCUGACCAAUCUUUUCCGGCAGAGUCAUCCGAGAGAGAAGGUCCUUCACACGCGCCUCCACUGGCGCGUCUCGGUUCUUGUAAACACAUGAAGACUCAUCCUUCACUACCAUAUUCUUACUCUUCUUCGUGUGUCGGUCGUGUUCUUCUCACAAAGUUCAGUUCAGCUACUUCUGAUACUUCUUUUAUCUAUAAACCAAGUCCGAAGAGACGUGGCACACUGGUUGACGCCUUCACGGUCCACUCAUGUACUCUCUCAAGUCUCAACUGCUCCAGUAAAUGGUUUUAAUAAGUAGAAAAAAAAUUACCCAUUUGAGGCACUGAACUAAACGUGUGGGUUUGUUACAAAUUGGUUGAAAUAGACUCAACAUUCUUGUUUCAUGUCAAAUAUUGAAAAAAUGAGUUAAAAAAUCCAAGAACUACUGAAAAAUCCACUAAUUAACUAUAGUCUAUAUCUUACAUACAUUUUUAAUUAUACACUAGGUAAUAACCCGCGGUACACCGCGGGUCGAGGGUUGGUUAUAUUUUUUUAAUUUGUAUCUGAUUUUCAACGGUAGUUUUUGUAAUGGUUUGUAUUUGUUGAUCUUAUGGGUUUGUUAUGUAGUAUGCAGUGUAAUUGUUUUAUAAAAUUAAAAGUGAAAAUUUGAUAUGUUUUUAUCUUCUUAAUUCAUGUUAUGUGUGUUUAUUUGAGAUUUUGCACAACUCCUUUCUUUCUAGCUUUAUUAACGCUUUGUAUAAAUUAUAAAUCUUAGUAGAUACUUCAGUACACCCAAUAGAUCAAGUUUGUAGAAUUUUUAAAUAUUGAUUUGGUGCAUGUGAAACAUUGGUACUAUAUUAUCAAAAAUGGCCCCUUAUUAACAAUUUAACAUGCUUAUAUUUCGGCUCUUUUUAUCUGGGUAUGUAAAGCCCAAAACGUCAUGGUUAGAUAGAAAACAUUCAACUAUUAAGCAGGCCCAUUUAGACUCGUUUUUGGUUACACACAAACGGCCAUUCACAAUUGCAUACGAAUGUCCUCUCGACUACCUAUCUUCUUCUUCAUUUUGCCUUUUCUUCUGUCAUUGAACGUGUUCUCUUUUCUUCCAAAUCUCCUAAUAAAAGAAACAAACUUCGUCUUCUAUGAUCGUAAUUGUCAUGAAUUGGUAAGCAGUUGUGAAAUACCGCAUUCAUUUGGUUAUAUUUGUAUGGAAGUUUCUGAAUUAUUGGGGUUCCCUUCGUCUGCGCAGAUCUACGAAAUGAAGAGCCGAGCGCCUGGUCCUCAAUACGAUCUGGCGAUUAUUUCCGACAAUGGAGGUAUAAAUACUUCGGAUACCAGGUAGAUCAACUUUUCCGCCUAAUUCACACGAUUUCGGUUUUUAAACAACUACAACAAAUUAGAUAUACUAACUGAGUUAGACCUGACGAUUACAUUAAAUAAUGGACAAUGAUAAUGUAACAAACCCCAAAAGAAUUUGGAUUUCGAUCUAUAUUCACUUCAAAACUUAUCCAAUUAUAGGCCUUCCUAGUUAUUGUACAAACGAAAGGGUUUAAUUUUAAUUGAAGAAGUUUAUGGUAAAUUCAAAUAGCUUAGGUUAUUCGUAGGGGUUUAACGGAUGCGGUUGUUCCUUUUUAAUUAUACAUUUUUAUUACCCGAUCCUCAAUCAGACAGGUGAAGUUAAACCGGUUACAGAUUCUAUCCCGAGUUGCAAGUGAGACCAAAACCAAGAGGAAACAAUGGGUCAUACGAAUUGGCAUCAGCGUUUAGAGGCAACUGAUCAACGCGUUUGAACCAGCUCACUGGUAACUUCCCAUUGAAGUCAUAAUCUCCAAAUAUGACAUCAGCAAUACCUUGCCCUUCAGUUCCAGGGAACCAAGCAGCGACCAAAGCAUCAGUCUUUUCAAGAACCGUUGGCUCCAAAACCAUAGGCCUUCCUGAGAACAGAAUCACUAGACUCGGUAUUUUCUCUGCAACUGCGGUUAUAAUGUCGUUACCGUUGAAAGGUAUCGUGAGUUCCGAGUUAUCGCCUUUCAUUUCUGCAUAUGGAGGUUCCCCCACUGCAACAAUGGCGUAGGAGAAGCUUUCACUCGAGGCUAAGGUUUCUUCUGUUGGCGUUUCCUCGUAGAUCACUUCGGUUUUGUCUCCAACUGCUUCUUUUAUGGCAUCUAAAAGUGUUGUACCUACAUUUCAAAAUAAAAACAUAAGUAUUCAAAAUCGACUUAUUCACUAUAAUUUAGUGGCGUCUGCAACUGGAAUUCGAAUUCAGUUUAACUACCAAUUGUGAUUCUGCCGCUUUGACCGGAUUUAAUCUUUGUCCAUCCUCCACACUGAUUUCCAAUAUCAUUUGCGUGCAUUCCGACCACUAGGAUCCUCUUGGCAUUGCGGUCUAAUGGCAGAAAUGGUGUAUUGGCAUUUGUUCCAUUCUUCAGCAAAACUAAAGACUUUCUAACCGCUUCACGUGCCACUUCUCUAUGUUCCUGCAGUUGUUGUAGUAAAUAGAGUCAAUCAUGCUCUUAUGCAUCUUACAAUAGUGGCGGAAACUAUAGAGACCUCACCUUGCAGCCAACAGUUCCCAACAAAGAUCGGUCCGCGAGAGGAUGUUCAAAGAGACCAGCAACAAACUUCACUCUGAGUAUUCUUUCAACAGCAUCAUUCACCCGAGCCAUUGGUAUUUCCCCUGACUCCACCAGAUCUGUCAUGUCCUGUAUGAACUGUUCGUACUUGAAAGGUACCAUCACCUGCAAUAACAAUGAUUAACAAUCUUCACCUCCUAACAAAUCAUUCAAGACAUGGAAAAUCAUUUUCAUUACCAUGUCGAUUCCAGCAUUAAUCCCAAGUUUGACGCAGUUACGAUGGUUUGAACCUUGUGGCUCGCUAAUUGUCUCCAAACCAUCCCAGUCGGAAACUAGAAAACCCUGAUGACAAAAAAAAUAAAAUAAUAAGUAAAUCAAAACGAGCUUAAUGCACACACCUCUAAGCUUAUGUAGAUAUUUUUCCAUAGUCUAUCAACCUUGAAACCAAGUUUCUGUUUGAGAACUUCUGUUAAGAGAAAAUAGUCGGAGUGGAGUCUACUUCCAUUCCAACUGGAAAAAGAGGCCAUAACGGUAGAGACUCCCUGAGCAAUACAGUUCAGAUAGGGAGCAACAUGUAUUUUCUCCAAUUCUUCAUAUGACGCAAUGGUGUUCCCCUCGCUUAAGCCCUUAUCGGUACCACCAUCUCCAACAAAGUGUUUUGCACACGCGACCACAUUGUUUCUACUCACCAAAUGAACAAAUUCAUGAGAAAUUGACAACAACUCUAUUAAUCUAUUAUAGUCUAGUGCACUAUAUAUGGUUAUGUAGUAUAUAUACCUUCCUGCUACAAAAGGGUAACCGUUGGGGUGUUCUUCAGGUGCCUCGCCUUGUAGGCCAGAAAUAAGCGAGCUCAUCUCACAUACAAUAUUAGCAGCUUCGCCAUAACUCUCAUAGCAUCUUCCCCACCUUGGAUCUCCCAAAACCUGUGAGUAAACAACAUUUCAUUCAAUAGUACUCCACCAAUCAUUUUUCAUAUAUCUUAACAAUCUACUUAAAAGGGACUUACGGCCACGCAGGGAGCAUACGUCCAGUGAACGCCACUAGCCCUUACUUCAACUGCUGUUGCAGCACCUAUACGUCUGACCAAAUCUGCGUCUCUACCGAAUUACCACACAAAACUAGGAGUGUUACACCAACGAAAACCAAACAAGGUAGAUGAAAAGAUCUUUGACACAAUCAGAUUCUAAUCAUAGCCAAAUCCAAUGCAACUAAUACUAAUAUAUGAUCAAAAGCUAAUUGAAGCAAAAUCAUCAGAAACUCCUACUAAAAAUCAAAUUUUUGUGGAAACUGAAUACAAAAUAAAUCCAAAUUUGCUUGAAACUUAACAAAAAGAUUCAAACUUUUUUCCAAAUUCAAAAGCUUUAAAAUGUCUAAACCUCCAUUACAUACAAAUCUCUCUCACUCUCUGUCUCACUUCCCUCUUUCGCAGAAAUUAAAGUUUUAUGCUCAAACCUUGUGGCUCCGAGACCAAUGUUGUGGGGGAAGACGGUGGCGCCGUAGACGUUGUUGUUGCCGUGAACGGCGUCAGUUCCAUAGAUGAUCGGAAUCCCCAAACGCGACGCUAACGCUAAACGCUGAAAACCGUCAAUCAUAUCCGCCCAAUCCGACGACUUAGCGUCCUCGAACGGCCAACUUCCGGCGCCGCUCUGUACACUGCCUGUAAACCAAAAAAGUUUUCAUUUUUACGUUUCGAGAGAAAGUAUCAAAUUUUUAGUUCGUUGACCAAAACAAAGAAAAAUGUUCAGUGGUUUAGUCUAGUCGUCACUAGUGAGUGUGUAAGUGUGUUAUAUAUUAGUAGUACCGAUGAAAGAAUCUUUAAUGACUUGAGGAGAAGCAACGCUGCGUUCGAUCUGAGUCAUCUGACCGAUCUUCUCCGGCAAAGUCAUGCGAGUGAGAAGGUCCUUCACACGCGCCUCCACUGGCGCGUCUCUGUUCUUGUAAACCCCAUGAAGACUCAUCAUCAGUCUUUGCCAUUUCUCUUCUUUAUCAACUAGUCUAAUUAAAACCAUUCCGCUUCUCGUUACUCGUUAGUCUUUUAUCUAGCCAAGCCGGAGAAGGACACGUCACACUCUUGUUUCCCCACUACACUCGAAUGCUUAUUUAAUUGGUUAAUCUCGUACAAUAAUUGAGAAAUUGGUGAUAUGAUUGUAUAUUACUAGUAGUUUUGAAGGUGUUCAUACAUAAAAGACAUUAUAAAUAUAUUCAUUUGUGUAGUUAUCCAUAUUAUGAUUUUUGUGGAUGGUUGUUUUUAUUAUUGAUCGAUGAGAGAAUUAAUAGUGCAAAAUACUGAAUUCUUUAUUUAUAGAUCCAAAAGUUUUGUUACAACACUCAUUAAACUUAGACCAAACGGGACAUUAGAUCAUAACUACAUAACUUGGACCAUCUCGAACUUUUAAUCAUCAUGUCGUUAGGCUCAUGCACAUAGACCAUAACUUGGACCAUCGACUGAAAAAUAGACUUCACAUAGACGUUGUAUAUGUCCAAAAUAUUUUUCAGUCGUUUUACGUUGUUAAAAGAAAAACAAAAUCUAAUCUCUGGGUCCAAACUUUUUUUUUUUGUUUAACUCUUAAUUUAUUAUUUAUUGCAAAUUAUGAGAAUUGUUAUCGAUUCUACUACCGACAAUUAUAUCCGACCCUAUUAUACUCACCACAGAUUAUACCAUUUGACGACACCUCCCUCUCCAUGCGUAGAAUCACGGCGAACGGAUCUAAUUGUGCAUUGUUAUAGAUAAAAGCUUUAUACAAUCCUUCGUCGACCACUGGAAAGGGAGCUUCCACAAGGUCCAAACUCUUUAAAAUAUUUUAAUUUAUUUAUUAAUUAUUAAGUUUUUAUAAAAUCUCUUUAAAAUCCUGACGUAAGAAAAUAUAAGAGAGUGAAAAAAGAUCUCUUAAAAAAUCCAGAAAAUAAGAAGUCGUUGUCAAAGUUGAGGAUUCUAGGGUUUAUAGCGACGCCAUGCGGCAGAAGCAAGUAACCCGCCCAAGCUAUGGUCUUCCCUACUACGUCAUCGAAAUUUCACGGAACUGUUUUUGAAAUUAUCUUCAGCUCAGCCGCGUAUGUUAUUCACCUUACUACACAACGGUAAACUGAUCUUCUACUCCGCACCUCAGCAUGUACAUCCAGAGCAUGCACAUGUACCUUUGGUUCCCUGUUAUCAUAUGUCGUUCGCCAAAGGUAUGGAUUCUCCAUAUGGCUAUGAGAUUCGUGCCCCUGUACGUGGGUUUCUUUGUAGCAAAACUAGAAUUCCUAUGAUCUAUAACCCUAGAACAGGAGAGUACGUACCUUUACCCAUAGUGAGAAAAAAGAAGGUUGAAAUAAUAACCUAUAUUGGGUAUGACCAUAUCGACAAACUAUUCAAGGUAUUGUGUUUUCCCAAUGUGUUUGUGGCAUGAGGAUUUUGCAUGUCGAGUUUCAACCUUAGGAAUGGGAAAAGUAUCGUGGAGAAUGAUCGAAUGUUCGAUACCCAUGGACCUUUACGUAAUGAGAUAUGCAUCAACGGAGUUUUGUACUAUUUAGCUGAGUGCAUUGGAAAUACAAAUCCAACACGAUGUUAUAUGGUAGUUUGCUUUGAUUUUAGGUCUGAAAAAUUCAACUUCUUAGCUGUGGAAGAAAGGUUUUGGUGUUCAACUCUGAUAAAUUGCAAAGGUAAAUUGGGCGUACUAUGACCACUGCGCCCUUUACUGGUGUAAGUGACCUUACAAAAAGUCUUGAGUUGUGGGUUCUAGAAGAUGCGAAUGAACUGAAAUGGUCCAAGAUUGUCUACACAUUGCCAUAUCAGUGGAAGUGUCUAGCUCGGUAUAAAUGUCUAUACAUUGUCGGGAUGACUAGCGGAGGUGAAAUUGUGUUCUCGACAUCUUAUCUAGACGAUCCUUUCUACAUCUUCUACUACAAUGUAGUGAUGAACACUAUUAAUGUAGUUGAAAUCCAGUUUGGGAAUGUAGCUGAGAAGGCUAAAAACUCAAGGAUUUAUACAUUUAUAGACUAUAUAGAGAAUGUAGAGCGUAUUUAUUAGGACUUUAUAAUUUACAAACAUAUAUAGUUGUGUAGUAGUUUGGCUUUUAAGUUUUAGUUCUUUAAUACAUCCUUAAUGAUGCGUCUAUAUAUCUUGUUCAGUUAUUAUAUGACUAUUUAAUUUUAUGUUUUGCUUUGACAAACUUCAUCAUCACUUUACAAAGCACUGUGUGUCUAUAUGAGUAUGAAAACGAAUUUUAAAAAAAUUGUACAACAUAAUUUUCUUGUCGAACAAAGAAAGCAAUACUAAUGGACUUGUUAUAGGAUUUCAUUGGAGUUUACAUGAUGAUGUUCUAAAAUAAAACAGAUUAACAACAUUAGAACUAUACAGCAUCUCUUUGAUAUCUUUCGAGUGAGUUAAAUUUUCUUGUUUUACAUAUUAUUUACUAAAGUGUAUGUAUUCAGUUACUAACUACCAAUUCUAGUGAAUUAAAACUUUAUAAGAAAGAUCUAACAUUUGACUACAUGUUAGUCAAGUUUUGAUUACACACAAUGUCAAGUUUAGAUAUUGAAAGUUAAAGAGUUUAGAAGACAACUGUUUUUGGUAGAUUAAUUCAAGAAUUUAAUAUUCAACUGUUUGAACUUAAAAAAAGCAAGACAAUGUCUCCAUCUAUUAGACCUGUGUUCCUCCUUAUAUAUAGAAGAUCUUAAAACUCUAUUUGUAAACAUGCCCUAAAUAAAAUACAAUUCAUGUUUUAUUAUUCUAGGGUGUGUUAGAGCCGCCUGAUAAAAAAAAAAGGCAUAAGCAAGUAGUCUCCCGCCCAAACAAGUAGCAAAUUCGAGUGGUAUUCAUGAAUACACAGAAAGUUUUGAGAUGUUGGGUUCUAGAGGAUGCUGAUGAGGUCAAAUGGUCGAAGACUGUACAUAUCAACUGUUUUGGAAUUUGUAAACCAUGUAGAGAAUAAUGUCGAGCUUAUGGAUUAAGACGUUAUAACAUAGAUUUGGAUCCUUAGCAUUUGCAUCCAUCUUGUUUCGUGAAGUAAUCAUUGUUGUGUUGUUAUUGUUUGAAUGUUCUUUAUAUGUAUCAAUGUAUGUUUGUUGUAAGCUACGUUUUAGCUAUUUGAAAACUUAAAAAGCAAGAAAAUACGACAAAGUAAAAGGAACAAAAAAAACAACAACUAUAAAUAUUUAGUGCUAGCUAGUAUAAAUUAUAAUUUGUUUGACUAAAGAAAAGUCAUUAUAUAAAUGUGUUUUCUAUACAAGAAAACAAGUGAUAUUAAAGAGAAGAUCUAGCAAAUAACUCACAAGUAUAUACCUCAGAAAUUAUUGAGAAAAAAUAAAUCCCUCGUAAAUCAAUCUUCCUAAUAUUAUAUUUGUUGUAGAACACUCGCAAGGACAUAAACAAUCUCAAAUGCAUCGUAAAUUGGUAUAUACAUUGUUAUUGUGUCCAUAGCAAUUUUAGGUGAUAUAAAAGAAAAAAAAAUCAAAAAUGACGUGAAAAAGGAAAACUUUUUAAAUGAUUUUUUUAUUUUUAUUUUAGUCAAAGUAAAAUAUCUUCAUUAUAGAAAACAUAUGGAAACAUAUAAUUUAAAAAAGAACUAUAUUGUAACAUAUAUAAUGUGCAUUUGAAAGAAACUUUUUUGAGAUUUUCUUUCUUUUACGGUAGAUUCAUGAACUAUUAGAUUUGGAUGAACUUGAAGAUUAUCAAGAUCCAUUUGAUUAGACCUGUGAUCUUUUACUCCUCCAUAUAAAUACAAAGUGUUAAGAAUCACUCUCUCAACAUCUACAUCAAAUUGAAAAUCAUGUUUGGGAUUUUAGGGUUUCACGCCUCCUUGGGAAAAAAACCGAAGCAAGUGAUGGUCCCUAACCCAAACAAGUCACCGAUGAUAGAAAAAUCAGAGGAGAUCCCAGUUGAUGUCUUGAUUGACAUUUUCUCAAGGUUGCCACUAGAAGCCGUUGCAAGGUGCCGCUGCGUGUCGAAGCUGUGGUCCUCCGUGCUGCGUCAUCAAGACUUCACCCAAUUGUACCUGAAAGAGUCAUAUGUCCGGCCGCGUAUCUUAUUCACCUUCUUGUACAUGGAUAGGCGGUUCUUUUACUCCAUACCGCAAGAUAUAGAUCCAGAGCACAACUACGCCUUUCCUAUAACUCCUUUUUUCCACAUGCGUUUCCCAACCGGUUACGGUUCUCCCUAUGAUGUGAGUCCCUCUAUACUUGGUUUUAUCUGUACCGAAUCUAGGAAGCCGACGAUAUGUAACCCGAGUACAGGGGAGUUCAUAUCUUUACCGAUAGCCACAGCCAAGAAGCAUCAGACGAGAACGUGUUUUGGGUAUGAUCCUAUUGGUAAGAUCUUCAAGGUAUUGUGUGUGUCGGGUGAUUUUGUCUGUAGAGUUGCAACAUUAGGAACGGGAAAAGUGAGGUGGAGAAGAGUCGAAUGUUCAAGCCCCCAUCAACCUUUAGCAACGACUGAGAUAUGGAUCGGUGGCAUAAUCUACUAUUUAACUAACUCCAUGGACGAUGUAAGUCCAACAGGCUUUACGAUAGUAUGCUUUAAUGUUAGAUCGGAGAGUUACACAUUUCUUGGUGUUGAUGAGUUUCCGACUCAGUAUUCAGCUCUCAUAAACUACCAUGGUAAGCUGGGCAUAUUGUUUCAUUAUUGGGAUAUUAAAAAUUUUAAAUUUGGUUUUGAGCUGUGGGUUCUAGAGGAUGCGGAUGAAGCCAAAUGGUCCAAGACUGUCCACAUAUUGCCAUAUCAUUGGAAGCAUCUAGUUGCCCGAUGUAUCCCAAUCAUUGUCGGGAUGACUAGUGCUGGUGAAAUUGUGUUGUUGGAACGUUAUCUAGAGAAGCCUUUCUACAUGUACUACUUCGAUAUAGUGAAGAGUAAUGUCUUACGAGUGGAAAUCGACCUCGGAACUGUAGUUUUGCCGAAGAAUUUUUACGACUCACCAAGAAUUGAUGCAUUGAUAAACCAUGUCGAGAAUGUAGAGCUUAUGGAUUAGAUUGGCUUCGAAGCACUUUCAUCCAUCUUUUGUUUCUUAACAAUUGUGGUGUUCUUAUUGUUUGAAUGUUCUUUUAUAUAUGUAGCAUGUAUGGAUUAAGAUCCUUCUGUCUUAAGUUUAUUGUUGCAUCCAUAUUGUAUCAAUUUUUUUUUUCUAUAACUUGUAAGCUAUGUUUGAGCCUUUUGCUGUUAGGUUAUAUAUAUAACUAAACAUUGAAUUUGAUCCAUAUAUAGUCUGAUGAAACGUUCGAUCUAGCCAGCUUCUCUGUAAUAAAAGAAGGCAACAACAUGUUAACUAGCUAGUGAUGAUUUUGUUUUGUUUUGUGGAGUUACAUAAGAGGCACAUGAAACUAUUAUGAGUUAUUAAAUCAACUGUCGAACAAUUAAAGCUUCCUCUAUAGAUGUCACAAAUCAAGCUAUACCAGUAAAUCCAUUCCAUAUAAAAAAUAAAAAAAUCUUCCAAGUUUUUUUCAUUUAUUUUUGCAGAGAGAAAACAAUGCAAAUAGAAUUUGGACAAGAUAGUUUCUUGUCGAACCAGAUGACAGAUGACAGAUGCAUCACUCCAUGUAUUUGCUGACAUUUCUGUGGACUAGAAAUUUUACAAACGCCACAUCAUAUCAAGUAGAUCUUAGAUGUCACAUAUUCCAUCAGACCAGUGAAGUCAAACUGGUUUUGAGUUCUACUUACCUGAAUUGUUCUUCAGACCGAAACCAAAAGGAAGCAAUGGGUCGUUCGGAUUGGUAUUAGCAGUUUAUGGCAGUUGGUCAACUUCCCCUCCAUGAAGCCAAGCAGAGCCUCAGUCUUUUCAAGAACAAGCAAAGGAAGGCCUUCCUCAGGAUCUUCAUCCAGAUUCCAGAUCGUACCCUUGUACCUUUGGUUCCCUGUUAUCAUAUAUCUUUCGCCAAAGAUAUGAGUUCUCCAUAUGGCUAUGAGAUUUGUGUCCCUGUACGUCGGUUUCUUUAGUAGCAAGACUAGCAAGCCUAACAUCUAAAACCCUAGGCUUACAUGAAAACCUAUUUUGGGUAUCAAGUUCGGCCCAAACCAUUUUCCAUACCUAAAACAAAAAUAUUUUAAGUCCAUUAACAAACAAUAUUUUAAGAAAAAAAUAGCAUAGACAAUCAGGUCACUCUGGGGACGUUUACAUGCAAGUUCGCCACUGUGCCACAAGCUAACUUUGAAAGUGAUGUCCUUAACAUUUACACUAUAUAAUUUGAUGCAUAAAGCACCAGAUUGUCACGAGCCGGACCUGUUGGGCAUGAUCAUAUUCAUAUCGACACACUAUUUUCAGGUAUUAUCUUAGCUAAAGGAGUUUCAUGUGUCCGAAGAUUUUGCCUGUCGAGUUUCAACCUUAGAAUUGGGAGAAGUAUCCUGGGGAAUUAUCGAAUGUUCGAUAUCCCACAGACCUUUACGUAUUGAGAUGUGUAUCAACGGAGUUUUGUACUAUUUAGCUGAGAUUGGAAAUACAAAUCCAUGAUACGAUGUUCAAUGGUAGUUUGUUUUUAUUUUAGGUCUAAAAAGUUCAAGUUCUUAGUUGUGGAACAUAAGUUUUGGUGUUCACAUUACCAUGUGUCACCGGGAUGACCAUUAAUGAACGUGAAUUUGUGUUAUCGGUAUGCUAUCUUGACGAUCCUUUCUACAUUCUCUACUACAAUAUAAUGUAGUGAUGACUACAGUGAACGUUACGUACGUAGUUGAAAUCUAGUUUGGGAAUGUAGCUAAGAAAAAAAAAAACAAGGAAUUAUGCAUUAAUUAUGUAUAGACUCUAUAUACAGAUUAUGGAUCGUAGAGUACUUUAUAACAUAGUUGUGUAGUAGUUUGGCUUUUAAGUUUUGGUCAUUAAUAAAUCGUAUUAAUUGGCUUCAGAUAUAUUUCGAGUGAAUUAAAUUUUCUUGUUUACAUAUUAUAAAUAAAAUGUACGUAUUCAGUUACUAACUACCAAUUCUAGUGAAUUAAAACUUUAUAAGAUAGAUCUGACAUUUGACUACAUGUUAGUUAAGUUUUGAUUACACACAAUGUCAAGUUAGAUAUUAAAAGUUAAAGAGUUUAGAAGACUACUGUUUUUGGUAGAUUAAUUCAAGAACUUAAAAAAGCAAGACAAUGUCUCCAAGACCUGUGUUCCUCCUUAGCAUUUGCAUCCAUCUUGUUUCGUGAAGUAAUUAAUCAUUGUUGUGUUGUUAUUUGUUUGAAUGUUCUUUAUAUGUAUCAAUGUAUGUUUGUUGUAAGCUACGUUUUAGCUAUUUGAAAACUCAAAAAGCAAGCAAACACGACAAAGUAAAAGGAACAAAACAAACAACAACUAUAAAUAUUUAGUGCUAGCUAGUAUAAUUAUAAUUUCUUUGACUAAAGAAAAGUCAUUAUAUAAAUGUGUUUCCGAUACAAGAAAAGAAGUUGUAUCUUAAAGAGAAGAUCUAGCAAAUAUCUUACAAGUAUACCAAGAGAUUAUUGAGAAAAAUAAAUCCCUCGUAAAUCAAUCUUCCUAAAGUUAUAUUUUUUGUAGAACCCUCGCUAGGACAUAAACAGUAUCAGAUAUGCAUUAAAUUGGUAUAUAUACAUUGUUAUAGUGUUCAUAGCAAUUUUAGGUGAUAUCAAAUAAAAAAAUGACGUGAAAAAGGAAAACUUUUUAAAUGAUUUUUCUUUUUAUUUUAGUCAAAGUAAAAUAUCUUUAUCAUAGAAUAAUAUGGAAACAUAUAUUUUUAAAAAUAACUAUAUGGAAACAAAUAUAAAUAUACAACAGCAUAUGUGGUUGCAUCUAACAAAAAAAAAAAAGGGUCAUCACAGCCAAAUGCUGUAUGACCGUUUCGUUUAGAUAGACGACAGCGGUCUAAGAUUUUCUCAAGUCUAAAAUGGAAAACAUGUGAUUUGAUUGUCUGGUCAUGUUCUGGUUGACCGCUUACGUGCAUGUACUUGUGACUUGUGCCAAGAUCUUCAUCUCCUCUUUACGUUAUAGUUCUCUACUUUGAUAUUUGCAACUUCCCCACACAUAACUGACUAAAACACUAUAUAAAAAGACAUUGUAGGAGUCAAAAGAAACACACAAAAAAAAAAAAGACAAAACAAAAUCUUUGACAACUAAAUGCAAGAAAACACAAAUAAAGUAUCAAUUUUUAAAAAUUAAAAUUUAGUCCAAAAAGCCAAAGUGGUUUUAAUAAAAACAAAUAGACUAAUUGGAGUAUGUUUUUUUAGCAGAAGCGUGUUUUUGGUGUCAAGUAAAUCCAAUUAGGUUGAGCUGUCACUUUUACAGUUUAUCUUGCAUUUUUGGAAAAGAAGCUUUAAUUUUUUUUUGGGUAGAUUCAUGAAUUAAUAUACGUUUGGAUGAACUUGAAAAAUAUCAAGACAACAAUAUCUCCGUUUGAUUAGACCUGUGGUCCUCCUUUAUAAAUACAAAAAUGUUAGAAGUCACUCUCUCCACAUCUCAAAAUCAAAUUGAAAAUCAUGUUUGGGUUCUUAGGGUUUAACGCUUCCAUGGGUAAGAGGCAAAAGCAAGAAAUGGUUUCUAGCUCCGGUAAGAGGCAAAAGCAAGAAAUGGUUUCUAGCUCCGGAAAGUCCCCGACAAAAAACUCAAAGGAGAUCCCAGUUGAUGUCUUGAUUGACAUUUUCUCAAGGUUACCACUGGAAGCCGUUGCGAGGAGCCGCUGCGUAUCAAAGCUGUGGUCCUCCGUGCUGCGUCAUCAAGAUUUCACCCAACUCUACCUGAAAGAUUCGUCCGUUAAGCCGCGGAUCUUAUUCACCUUCUUGGACAUGGGAAGGCGGUUCUUUUACUCCAUGCCGCAAGAUAUAGAUCCAGACCGCGACUACUCCAUUCCAGUAUCACCAUAUUACCAGAUGCACUUCCCUACUGGUUUGGGUUCUCCCUAUGGUGUAAGUCCCUCUAUACUUGGUUUUAUCUGUACCCAAUCCAGGAAGCCAAUGAUAUGCAACCCGAGUACGGGAGAGUUCAUAUCUUUACCCAUAGCAACGGCCAAGAAGCAUCAGACGAGAACGUGUUUUGGGUAUGAUCCUAUUGGCAAGAUUUUCAAGGUAUUGUGCGUGUCGGAUGAUUAUGUCUGUCGAGUUGCAACAUUAGGAAAGGAAAAAGUGAGUUGGAGAAGAGUCGAAUGUUCAAACCCCCAUCAACCUUUAGCAACGACUGAGAUAUGCAUUGGUGGCAUAAUCUACUAUUUAACUAAGUGCAUGGAAAAUGUAAGUCCUACAGGCUAUACGAUAGUAUGCUUUAAUGUUAGAUCGGAGAGUUACACAUUUCUUGGUGUUGACGGGUUCCGAAUUUACCGUUCAGCUCUCAUAAACUACCAUGGUAAGCUGGGCAUAUUGUUUCAAUAUCGGGAUGUGAAAAAUAAUAAUUUUGGUUUUGAGCUGUGGGUUCUAGAGGAUGCGGAUGAAGCCAAAUGGUCGAAGACUGUCCACAUAUUGCCAUAUCAUUGGCAGCAUCUAGUUGCCGAAGGGAACCCAAACAUUGUCGGGAUGACUAUUGCUGGUGAAAUUGUGUUGUCGGAUACCUUUCUAUUGAAGCCUUUCUACAUGUACUACUUCGAUACAGUGAAGAGUGAUGUGUUACGAAUGGAAAUCGACUUCGGAACUGUAGCUAUGAAGAAGAAGAAGCCUUACUACUCGCGAAUGAUUUUUCCAUUGAUAAACCAUGUUGAGAAUGUAGAGCUUAUGGAUUAGCUUGGCUUCUAAGCAUUUUUCAUCCUUCUGUUUCUUAACAAUUGUGGUGUUCUUAUUGUUUGAAUGUUCUUCUAUAUGUAUGGAUUAAGACUUCAUAAUAUAUAUAGCUUGCCUUCUGUUUUAAGUUUAUUCUUGCAUCCAUCUUGUAUCAUUUUUUUUUUUUUUUUUUGGAACUUGUAAGCUAUGUUUGAGCUUUUGCUGUUAGGUUAUAUAUAAUUAAACACUGAAUUUGAUCCAUAGUCUGAUGAAACGUUCGAGCUAGCAAGCUUAUCUGUAAUAAGAAAGCAACAACAUGUUAAUUAAUGAUGAUUUAGUUUUGUUUUGUGGAGUUACAUAAGAGGCACAUGAGACUAUUAUGAGUUAUAUAAAUCAACUGUCGAACAAAGCUUCCUCUAUAGAUUUCACAAAUCAAGCUACCAGUAAACCCAUCCCACAAAUCAAGUUCUCAUUUAUUGCAAAGAAAAAACAAUGCAAAUAGAAUUUGUACAAUAGUUUCCUGUCGAACCAGAAAACAAGAUAAUGACAGAAGCAUCACUCCAUGUAUUUGCUGACAUUGCUGUGGCCUAGAAAAUUUACAAACGCCGGAUCAUAACAAUUAAUAGAUCAUAGAUGUCACAGUUUCACAUAUUCCAUCAGACCAGUGAAGUCAAACCGGUUUUGAGUUCUUACCUGAAUUGUUCUUCAGACCAGAAACCAAAAGGAAGCAGUGGGUCGUUCGGCUUGGUAUCAGCAGUUAAUGGCAAUUGGAAUUGGUCAACUUCCCCUCAAAUUCAUAAUCUCCACAGGAAGCCAAGAAGAGCCUCAGUCUUUUCAAGAACAAAGUAACCAUAGGCCUUUCUCAGGAUCUACAUCCAGAUUGUGCCCUUGUACCUUUGGUUCCCUGUUAUCAUAUGUCGUUUGCCAAAGAUAUGAGUUGUCCAUAUGGGUAUGUAUGACUUUAUGAGAUUCGUGCCUCUGUACGUGGGUUUCUUAGUAGCAAAACUAGCAAGCCUAACAUCUUUAGCCCUAAGCUGGCAUGAAAACCUAUUUAGGGUAUCAAGGUCGGCCCAAAACAUUUCCAUGCCUAAAACAAAAAUAUUAUAAGCCCACUAACAAACAAUAUUUUAAGAAAAAAUAGUAUAGAUGAAGCUCAAUCUGGUCAUUCUGGGGACUUUUACAUGCAAGUUCGCCAAUGUGCCACAAUCUAACUUUGAAAGUGAUGUCCUUAACAUUUAUACUAUAGUUUGAUGCAUAAAGCACCAGAUUCAUGAGUUUCUGUCACGAGCCGGACCUGUUGGGCAUGAUCGUAUUCAUAUCGACAAACUAUUUCCAGGUAUUGUCUUAGCCUAAGGAGUUUCAUGUGCCCGAGGAUUUUUCCUAUCGAGUUUCAACCUUAUAAAUGGGAGAAGUAUCCUGGGGAAUAAUCGAAUGUUCGAUAUCCCACAAACCUUUACGUACUGAGAUGUCCAUCAGCAGAGUUUUGUACUAUUAAGCUGAGUGCAUAUAUAAUUGGAAAUACAAAUCCAUGAUACGAUGUAUAAUGGUAGUUUGCUUUGGUUUUAGGUCUGAAAAGUUCAUGUUCUUAGCUGUGGAACAUAGGUUUUGGUGUUCACAUUACCAUGUGUCACCGGCAUAACCAGUGAAGGUGAAAUUGUGUUAUAUCUGCAUGACGAUCCUUUCUACAUUCUCUACUACAAUAUAGUGACGAACGUAGUUGAUAUCCACUUUGGGAAGGUAGCUAGGAAAUCAACAAUUUCAAGGAUUUAUGCAUUUAUGUUGGCGUUGAUGGGUUAUAUUCGUCAUAGAACACUCGCUAGGACAUAAACAAUCUCAGAUGCAUUGUAAAUUGGUAUCUAUACAUUGUUAUUGUGUUCACAGCAAUUUUAGUGCUCGCUAGUAUAAUUAUAAUUUGUUUGACUAAAGAAAAUUCAUUCUAUAAAUGUGUUUUCCAUACAAGAAAACAAGUGAUCUUAAAGAGAAGAUCUAGCAAAUAACUCACAAGUAUACCAAGAGAUUAUUGAGAAAAAUAGAUCCCUCGUAGAUCAAUCUUCCUAUUGUUGAAUGAUUUUUUAGUUUUAUUUUAGUCAAAGUAAAAUAUCUUUAAAUGAUUUUUUUAAACGAUUUUUAUUUUAGUCAAAGGAAAACUUUUUAAAUGAUUUUUUAUUUUUAUUUUAGUCAAAGUAAAAUAUCUUUAUCAUAGAAAAUGUAUGGAAACAUAUAUUUUUUAAAAUAACUAUAUGGAAACAAAUAUAAAUAUAUAAUAGCAUUUGAAAGAAACUUCUUUUUUCUUUUGGGUAGGUUCAAGAACUAAUUAAGAUUUGGAUGAACUUGAAGAUUAUCUCCAUCUAUUGACAUGUGGUCCUCUACUCCUCCUUAUAUAUAGAUAAAUGUUAGAAGUUACUCUCUCCACAUCUUACUUUUCUUUUAGUUUAAUUUAUCUCUUUGUGGUUUCAUUGCUUGUUCUUUUGUCCACAUCUCCAGAAAUCAAAUUAAAAAUCAUGUUUGGGAUCUUAGGGUUUAAUGCUUCCAUGGGGAAAAGGCAGAAGCUAGUGGUCUCCAGCCCAAAAAAGUCUCAAAGAGAAACUUCGAUAGAGAUCCCAGUUGAUGUCUUGAUUGAUAUUUUCUCAAUGUUGCCGUUGGAAGCCGUUGCGAGGUGCCGCUGCGUGUCGAAGAUGUGGUCCUCCGUGCUGCGUCAUGGAGAUUGCACCCAAGUAUACCUGAAAAAGUCAUCGGUCCGGCCUCGUAUGCUAUUCACUCUGCUAUGUAACGGUAAACGUAUCGUUUACUCUAUACCUCAGGAUCUAGAUCCAAACCGGGACUACGCCACUCCUAUAACUCCUUACUACCAGAUGCAUUUCCCUAAAGGUUUGCAUGGUUACUAUGAGGUGUGUCGUCCCUCUAUACUUGGUUUUUUUUGUACCGAAUCUAGGAAACCAAUGAUAUGUAAUCCGAGUACAGGAGAGUACUUGUCUUUACCAAUAGCGACAAGCAAGAGGCAUCAGACGAGAACGUGUUUCGGGUAUGAUCCUAAUGCCAAGCUUUUCAAAGUAUUGUCUCUUUCCGAUGAUUAUGUCUGUCGAGUUGCAACAAUUGCAACGGAAAAAGUGACGUGGAGAAGAGUCGAGUGUUCGAGACCGCAUCAAGCUAUAGAUACUGAGAUAUGCAUAGACGGUGUGCUGUACUAUCUAGCCGAGCACCGUCGAACACACUAUAUGAUUGCAUGCUUUGAUAUUAGAGUGGAGAGUUACAAAUUUGUAGAUGUUGAUUGGUUACAAAGUUGGAGUUCAGCUCUCGUAAACUACCAUGGUAAGCUGGGCAUAUUGUUUCCAACAUAUCCGAGUUUUCCUCUUCACGGCCCAGAAGGUUUUGAGCUGCGGGUUCUAGAGGAUGUAGAUGAAGCCAGAUGGUCGAAGACUGUCUACAUAUUGCCAGAUGGUUGGAAGCAUCUAGCUACCGAUAGCCACCGAGACAUUGUCGGGAUGACUAGUGCAGGUGAAAUUGUGUUGUCGAACUACUUUCUAAUGGAGGAGCCUUUCUACGUGUACUACUUCAAUACAGUGAAGAACACUGUAGUGCAAGUUCAAAUCGACUUCGGAAUUGUAGCUAAGAAGGCUUACUGCCCAAGAAUUGUGACAUUGAUAAACCAUGUCGAGAAUGUAGAGCUUAUGGAUUAGCUUGGCUUUUAAAUCAUCCAUCUUCUUUCUUAAUAAUUGUUGGCCUGUUGUGUUGUUAUUGUUUGGAUGUUCUUUAAAUUGUAUCUUUUCACUUUGAAAAGACAACUUUGGUAACAAUUAAUUAAUGUUCAUUUCUUCUUCUCACCAUUAAAAAUAAAAUAAAAGAUAAAAAAUAGGAUGUCAAUUUUGGAUCAAUUUCUCUUUUUAGUUUCCAUUUAUUGCAAAUAGGAAAAUAUGUACAACAGUUUAGUGUCUUGCCGAACAAGAAAGCAAGCCAAUUACAGAACAAAAGCAUCACUCAUAUCAAAUAGAUAUUGCACUUUCACACAUUUCAUCAAACCGGUUUUGAGUUCUCUCCGGAUUUGUAGUUCAGACCGAAACCAAGAGGAAACAAUGGAUCAUACGAAUUGGGAUGAUCAGCGGUUAAUGGCAACUGGUCAACGUGUCUCAACCAGCUCAAUGGUAACUUCCCCUCGAAGUCAAAAUCCCCAAAAAUGACAUCACUCAUCCCUUGCCCUUCGGUUCCAGGAAGCCAAGCAGCUACCAGAGCCUCAGUCUUUUCAAGAACCGGUUGCUCAAGAACCACAGGCCGUCCUGAGAACAAAACCACUAGAGUCGGGAUUUUCUCUGCAACCGCAGUUACAAUGUCGUUACCGUUUAAGGGUAUCGUGAGUUCCAAGUUAUCCCCCAAUGUCUCUGCGUAAGGAGUUUCACCCACUGCAACAAUGGCAUAGGAGAAGCCCUGACUUGAGGCUAAAGUUUCUUCUGAAGGAGUCUUCUCAUAAAUCACUUCGGUUUUUUCUCCAACUACUUCUUUAAUUGCAUCUAAAAGUGUCGUUCCUGCAUUACAGACCAAAUUAGAUAUGUUCCUAUUAAAAAAGUCCAACAACAUCUAUUAGCCUCUGUGAUUGAAGUUGCUUUAAUAAUUACCUAUUGUGAUCCUGCCGCUUAGACCGAACCAUGCCUUUGUCCAUCCGCCGCACUGAUAUCCAAGAUCGUCCGCGUGUGUUCCAGUGACAAGAAUUUUCUUAGCAUUGCGAUCUAAUGGCAGAAAUGGCUUCUCAGAACUUUUUCCGUUCUUUAGGAGAACUAACGACUUUCUAACCGACUCGCGAGCCAGUUCUCUAUGUUCCUGGAGUCAUGAGAAAACAGGUCAAUCAUGUUCUGGUCCUAGCACUCAGGUCUAAAUCUAAUGGCAUUCUGUAAAAGAGAUCUUACCUUGCAGCCAACAGUGCUCAAUAAAGACCGGUCGGUAAGAGGAUGUUCGAAAAGACCCGCAACAAACUUCACUCUGAGUAUUCUCUCAACAGCAUCAUCGAUUCGAGACAUAGUUACUUCCCCUGACUCUACCAGAUCUGUGAGGUCCUUUAUAAACUGUUCAUACUUGAAAGGCACCAUCACCUGGAGUAACAUUGAUUAAUAAUCUUAGCUCUUUGUAUCAUCCGAGGAGAGAUGAAAAUCAUUCACUAAGGGUUUUAGAAUCAACCAUAUCGACUCCAGCAUUAACCGAGAUUUUAACGCAGUUGCGGUAGUUUGAACCAAAUGGCUCGCUAAGCCGUUCCAAAGCUUCCCAGUCUGAAAUGAUAAACCCCUAAAGAAAAGGCCAAGGUAACCAGCUAAAACCAUAUAUAUACCUAUUACUUAUAUGACUAUUUCAUAUUCAAAAUAAAUUUUUUGGCUGACCUUGAAACCGAGUUUUUGUUUGAGAAGUUCGGUUAAGAGGAAAUAGUUGGAAUGGAGUUUACUUCCGUUCCAGCUAGAGUAGGACGCCAUAACCGUAGAGACUCCCUGAGCAAGACAAUUCAAAUAUGGAGCAAGAUGUACUUUCUCCAACUCUUCAUAUGACACAAUGGUGUUCCCUUCGUUUACGCCCCCUUCAGUACCACCAUCUCCAACAAAAUGCUUGGCGCACGCCACCACGUUGUUUCUAUCACAUAGUGAACAAAGCCAUGAGAAAAUACAUCAAACCUAUUAAUGAAACAAAUGUAGCUAGAAGUCUAUAUAAUAUACCUUCCUGCAAGAAAUGGGUAACCAUUAGGAUGUUCUUUGGGUGGCUCGCCUUGCAGUCCCGAGACAAGCGAACUUAACUCACAAAUAAUGUCAGUGUCUUCACUGUAACUCUCAUAGGAACGCCCCCAUCUCGGAUCUCUCAAUGCCUGUCAGAAACAAUAAAAAAUAAACUCUCUUUCAGUACUUUCUUCCAUUCUCUUGAUUUUCACUAAGCCUAUAGAGACAGACCUCAAAGACGUCAAUGGAUUAGGCAAAUUCUCAUGUAUUGAAAUAUAGCUUAUACUCACAAUGUUCAACUUAUUUGGCAUUAAGAUAUGAGAGAUGGCAAACAAAACAUAUUCUUAAGAAACACUCAAAAGAUAUAUACCCCACCAAAGGAUCCAUUCAGUUGAGUUAGCUAUAAGGAACUUACGGCCACACAUGGAGCAAACGCCCAGUGAGCGCCACAUGCUCUAACUUCAAGUGCUGUUGCAGCCCCAAUUCUUCUGACCAAAUCUGCAUCUCUAUCACAUUUAACAACAACCACUUGUUCAAAUACUAAUACGGUUAGAUUCCAAUCUACUUGGAACAACACUAAAACACACCCAAAUAUAAUACAUAUUGUCCAAACAACACUACAUCCAACUCUUUUCUCAAAAAAAAAUUGUAGUCAUCUCAAAGUGAAAAGAGAAUGAUAAACAAACCUGGUGGCUCCAAGGCCGAUGUUGUGGGGAAAGAUGGUUGCUCCGUAGACGUUGUUGUUGCCGUGGACAGCGUCAAUGCCAUAGAUGAUCGGGAUUCCCAAACGCGACGCUAACGCUGCGUUUUGGUAACCGUCGAUCAUAUCAGCCCAAUCCGACGUUUUAGCGUCCUCGAACGGCCAACUCCCUCCACCGUUUAGUACACUACCUGUAACCCCAAAAUCUCAUUACUACUAUCAAAAUUUGGACUUACGAAACUAAAAAGUUUUGGCCGUUGACUUUAGAAAAAAAAACACAAACGGACUGUGGACUGUUUCGUGUAUACCGAUGAAGUAAUCUGUAAUGACGGGAUGAGUAGUGACGAUACGUUCGAUCUGAGUCAUCUGGCCGAUCUUUUCUGGCAGAGUCAUGCGAGAGAGAAGGUCCUUGACACGCGCCUCCACUGGCGCGUCUGGAUUCUUGUAAACGCAUGUUUCAUUGCUUCCUUCCAUACUUAAUUGUUUUAUCAUCUUUCUUCUUUCUUUAUCCUUCCGUUACAAGUAAACCUCUUUAUAUACUGCCAAGGUUAAGGAUACGUGUCACACGAAAUCUUGCCGUAGCCGACUAGAUAUGAAUAUUAAUUAAGAGUGGAAUUAGUUAAACCAAUAAAAAUUUAAAGAUUUAAUUAACAAGCAGUAGUAGUGAUGUGAAUCUUUCUCCAGUUUUAUAAUUUUAAAUGAACAUGUCAGAUCUAGCAAAAAUCAAAACCUGAAUAAAUGAUACAUAUAGCAAAACAAAAACAAAAAAAACCCUAAUAGUUAUCAUUUAAUUAAACAUCCUAAUCAGUUUUAUUGAUGAUUCAACAAAAAGACUACUCAUUAACAUGAUAUAUGAUGAAGUGAUGAUUAUUUAUUUUGGUUAAUCAUAUAACAUAGAGGUUUGACCAAAACAAAUAAUCACAGUUUUUGGAUCAACUAAUACACAUUAUAGUAUAUCAGUUUAAUUGAUUAAAAUAGUCUGAAUGUUCAAAAAAAAGGUUUAAAUUUUCCUAGAAGAGAUCGUCAAAAGAUAAAAGAAAGACUGUCUAAAAUCUUUUUAAAAGGCAGUCCAAAUAAUAUUAAAUUACGACUGUUGGUCUUCUGAUUAAAUUAAAUACAAAAACAAAACAGCUGGAACCAAAUUCGAUCGAGCCGUGGGAAUUAAAAGAAAUAAAAACAAAGACUAGAAAAUAGUUUGAUGUUAGAAAAUGCUUAGGUGAAUAAGUCUAAUUAUAAGAAGAAUCAAAUGUUGUGAUGACGAAGUAAUGUAGAGAUUGUCACGUAUGUAACGACGCUAAUUAACAUGUCUUUUCGAGAUUGACGAACGUAUCUGAAAGACCAAUCUUAGCACAUAGUGCAUGCGAGAGAGAGAUGCCUUUUUGUGAAUGCAACCCACAAAAAUAGAUGAAGGACGUAUGACGACGCAGCAUCAAUACGACUUACUUUAUAUAGUUUGCAUCCUUUUCUUUUUAUCUAAACAAAAUAUUAUUCCAAUGCAUGAUGAACUAAAGUUUUUGAACCCCAUUUCAAGAAGAUCCUUUUUAACAGAAAGAGUCCCAUAAUAUUCAACAGCAAGUUCAAACUGUGUUAGAGUUCUCCACGGAGUCAUGACCGAGACCAAAACCAAGAGGAAACAAUGGGAGAUACCCAUUUGAUUCAAUGUCAAGCGGCAGCUGGUCUACGCUUUUGAACCAGCUCGCUGGUAACUUCCCUUGGAACUCAUAAUCUCCGAAUAUUACAUCAGCCAUCCCUUGCCCUUCAGUACCAGGUAGCCAAGCAGCAACCAGAGCCUCUGCCUUUUCAAGAACUUGCGGCUCAAGAAACAUAGGCCGUCCUGAGAACAAGAUCACUAGAGUCGGGAUUUUCUCUGCAACCGCGGUUAUAAUCUCGCUACCAUUCAAUGGUAUUAUGAGUUCUGAGUUAUCCCCCAUAGUCUCUGCAUAGGGCAACUCCCCCACCGCAACAAUUGCAUAAGAAAAACUCUUUCGCGCGGCUAAGGUUUCCUCUGAUGGGGUUUUCUCAUAGAUUACUUCGGUUUCGUCUCCAACGGUUGCUUUUAUGGCAUCCAAAAGCGUUGUGCCUGCAUAGUGAGACAUCAAUAUAUAUUAGUUUUUCGACUUAAAAGACCAUUUAGCCUCUGUCUAUUGCAUAUCUAGUUACCAUUUGUGAUCCUUCCGCUUUGACCAUACAUUGUCUUUGUCCAUCCACCGCAUUGAUAUCCAAGAUCAUCCGCAUGCGUUCCAACCACUAGGAUUCUCUCGGCAUUGCAAUUUAACGGCAGAAAUCGCGCAUAUUUGCCGUUUUUUAGCAGAACUAACGACUUUCUAACCGCUUCACGCGCCAAUUCUCUAUGUUCCUAAACGUGUGAAAACAGAGUAAAAAUCUUGUUUUCUUGGUAUCUUAAUAAUCUUAAUUCUUAAAACUCUUUUCUAAUAGUCUUCUUAACAAGAAAGCUCACCUUGCAACCUACAGUAGGUAACAAAGUUCGAUCUGCAAGAGAAUAUUCAAAGAGCCCUGCAACGAACUUCACUCUGAGUAUCCUUUCAACAGCGUCAUCAAUACGAGCCAUCGAUACUUCCCCUGACUCCACCAAAUCUAUAAGGUCAUUUGUGAACUUUUCAUACUUGAAAGGUACCAUCACCUGCGAUAACAUUGGUUUAAUUAUAUUUUCUCUUGAAUCAUCUGGAGAUAACAUAAAAAGAAAUCACUACCAUAGUACCAUAUCGAUUCCAGCAUUAAUCCCCAUUUUGACGCAGUUGCGGUAGUUUGAACCCGGUGGAUCGCUAAGCCGGUCCAAACCUUCCCAGUCUGAAACUACAUAUCCCUAACAACAAGAAAAAAAAAACAAAUGAACUCAAUGACUACAUAUCUAGCUUUAUUUUUUUCUAUUUUUUUCGACACUCAAAUCAACCUUGAAACCGAGUUUUUGUUUGAGAACUUCCGUUAAGAGAAAAUGGUGGGAAUGAAGUUUAUCUCCAUUCCAACUGGAGUAAGAGGCCAUAACGGUAGAUAGUCCUUGAGAAAUACAUUUCUUGUAAGGAGCAAUGUGUUUCCUCUCUAAGUCUUUGUACGGCAAAAUGGUGUUUCCUUCAUUUAUGGCCUUAUUGGUACCACCAUCUCCAACAAAGUGCUUGGCACACGCAACCACGUUUUUUCUAUCACCAAGUGACCAAUUCCAUGAGAAAUGAAAUUAAAGAUACUAAAGACACAAAUUAAGUUAUAAUUUUGUAUAUGUAGGUAUAUAUACCUUCCUGCAAGAAAAGGGUAACCAUUUGUGUGUUCUUUGGGUGGCUCGCCUUGUAGACCCGAGACAAGUGAAGUCAUCUCCGAAACAAUUUGAGCAACUUCACCAUAACUCUCAUAGCAUCUUCCCCAUCUCGGAUCUUUCACUACCUGUAAGAACAACAUCUCAUUCAGUUGACUAAGAAAUCAAUGUUCAAUCUUAUUGCUAAAGUCUAAAUGUAUAAGAGAUGACAUACUGCAACGCAGGGAGCAAACGCCCAGUGAGCACCGCAAGCUCUUACUUCAAGUGCUGUUGCAGCUCCAAUUCUUCUGACCAAAUCUACAUCCCUACAAAGUUACCAAUGUUAUCAAAACAUAGCCACAAUAGAUAGAUGCAUCAAUCUUGGACACAAUCAUCAGAUGUUAACCUCAGCCAGUGUAACUAACUAUUCAUUACUAAUUGCUACUACUAUAUGGUGAGAUUAAAAGUAUUAUAGGAGUAACAUGUUCAAAACUUCUAAUAAGACCAAAAUCAAGUACUGUUGAAUUAGUAAAGACAAGUCUCAUAAAAAGAUUAAAUUCAAAUUUUUAUCCUUCUCUUCUACUAAAUUUGUACUUAGCUCAAAAGGGAACCAGACCUGGUGGCGCCGAGACCAAUGUUAUGGGGAAAGAUGGUAGCACCAUAGACGUCAUUGUUGCCGUGAACGGCGUCUAUGCCAUAGAUGAUCGGAAUUCCUAAACGCGACUCUAAUGCUGAUCGCUGAAAGCCGUCGAUCAUAUCCGCCCAAUAGGACGACUUUGCAUCCUCGAAUGGCCAAUUUCCUGCUCGGUUCAGUAGACCACCUGUGAAAAAUGUGACUUACUUUGUAUCUUGAGUAUGUUCACUCUUCAUACAAAGAGAGAAACGCUAACAAAGGUUUGGUCGUUGACCAAAACAAAUUUAGAAAUGGUCUCUGUGGUUGUGUAUAAUACCGAUGGAGUAAUCUUUAAUGACGGCCUGAGAAGCGACGCUGCAUUCGAUCAAAGUCAUCUGACCGACUUUCUCAGGCAGAGUCAUCUGGGAAAGAAGGUCCUUCACACGCGCCUCCACAGGUGCGUCCCGGUUCUUGUAAACGCAUGACUUUUCAUUGUCAACCAUUUUCUUCCUCUGCCUCUUCUUCUUCUGACAAUAUCACUUCUUCUCUUUAUAUAGCCAAACACGAUACACAUAUACACAUAUGUUGACUUAGCUUGGAUCUUCAUGACUAAUGGUGGUUUAUUGUAAGAAAAGACAAAUAUAUAUACUAAACAAUAAAUCCACCAUAAACAAUAAAUUAAAGAAGUCAAUAAUUAUAUGACUUGGAUCUUCAUGACUAAGGGUGGUUUAUGUAAGGUGUGAACUCUUGAGAUCAUGGCUAAACCCACCAAAAACAAUAAAACAAGAAAACAUCAUAAACAUCACUAGAAGUAUAAACACACAUUAACAUACGUAGAUGCUAUUGCCAAUAAUAUUUUUACUUUUGGAUUAAAAGCAUUUUAUUCAUUUUUUUUUUUUUGAAAACAACACUUAAUUCAUUUCAAAAUCUUAAACUUGUUUCUCUUCUAUUGUAGUGCCACUUGAAUAUCUUUUCUCUGAGAUAUGCUAUAUAAAUUACAUUACCGGCUUACAUAUCACUUUUAAAAAAAAAUAUUGUGUUGUAGAACUCAUGAAUAAUAAUGACCAUUGAUUUUAUUUAUUUAGAAAAUGGAUUAUAUUUUUCUAAUUUUUUUUUAUAAUUUCACGAAAAGUGUAACACCUACCAUAGUAUUUCGUCUUAAAUUAAGAAGUUAAGUUGGGUUUAGUAAUAGUUUGUUUUUCCUUGUAAUGUAUUUUCACAAAAAGCGUGAGUCCUACGAUAUACAAUGUAUUUUGUACAUAUAUUAUUGUUAUAAACAAAAUUUUAACUUAAAAUAUGGUUUUCACGUUUAAAAUUUUAUAAAUAUAAUUUACAUAGACUGUUUUGUACUCUACCAUACAUUUAAACUAUACUUUCAUUGUAAAACUUAGUAACAUAUUUGAAACAUGAUUCUCGUAAAAAAAAAAAGUUAAAAUAUUAUUUAAAUUACUUAGAGAUGGAAACUAAACGUAAUAAAAACAUUUUGUAUAUACAAAAGUAAUUCGAAUUUCUUCAAAUUUUGGAGUAGAUGACGGUUUCUAAUUAGGGUCGUUUAUGAGCAGCUGCACAAAAAGACCAACAAGCUUGGGCAGUGUCUACAACGACGGUUCCUGCGAAACCUGUGCAUUUAAACUUUUUCCCAUAUGGAUAGCACGGCGGCUCUUUUACUUUUUCAUUUGUGAUUGGAUUUCUUAACGGGUCAUCUUUGAACAUAUUCCUUAUAGAAUC
This 72112-nucleotide long non-coding RNA is filed under the name Capsella rubella. RNAcentral's name for it is "long non-coding RNA (CRUB_LNC002727)". The stretch from base 1187 to 1268 matches the Rfam family "tRNA". Lineage: Eukaryota; Viridiplantae; Streptophyta; Magnoliopsida; Brassicales; Brassicaceae. The record is from RNAcentral.